Molecule: long non-coding RNA, 48886 nt
Filed under: Sorghum bicolor (sorghum)
Lineage: Eukaryota; Viridiplantae; Streptophyta; Magnoliopsida; Poales; Poaceae
Description: long non-coding RNA (SBIC_LNC009982)
Source: RNAcentral
UCUGAGCUUCAAUAACUUGUCAGGGUAUAUCCCGUUGCCUCUUUACAAUAUGUCUUCACUCAAACACUUCAGUUUAGGCAGCAAUGGCCUUGUUGGGCAGUUACCAUCUGACAUUGGUAACUCACUACCAAAUCUCCAGGUGCUUGACCUAUCAAAUAACUCCUUGCAUGGUCGUGUUCCGCCUCUUGGGUCGUUGGCAAAAUUGCGUCAAGUGCUUUUAGGAAGGAAUCAGCUAGAAGCAUAUGACUGGCAAUUCCUUUCCUCACUAACAAAUUGCACACAGCUGACAAAAUUGUCCCUGGAGGGAAAUAUGAUGAAUGGCAGCCUACCUGGAUCAAUAGCUAAUCUUUCCACAAGCCUUGAAUAUUUAUUGCUUGGGUCCAACCAAAUAUCAGGCUCCAUACCUGUUGAGAUAAGCAAUCUUGUUAAUCUCACUAUGCUUAGCAUGGAAAACAAUUUGCUCUCAGGAAGUAUACCUGCUAUGAUUGGGAAGCUGCAAAACCUAUUUGUCCUGAACCUAUCCAAGAACAAAUUAUCAGGUCAGAUCCCUUCCUCAAUUGGUAACAUUAAUCAAUUGGGAGAGCUUUUCCUCGACGGCAAUGACUUGAAUGGAAACAUACCUAGUAGUUUAGGUCAGUGCUUAGGGUUGCUUCAGCUGAACCUAUCUGCUAACAAACUUAAUGGAUCCAUACCAGAAAAACUAUUUUCUGGACCUUCCCCUUUUUUGGGUCUGGACCUCUCCCACAACAAUCUCACAGGAAAAAUACCGGAGGCUAGUGGGAAACUUGAACAUAUCGUUCUUCUAGAUCUUUCCAACAAUCUGUUAUCUGGAGGUCUCCCUGCAAUAUUUUCGUACUUGUUCUACCUCCAGUAUAUUAAUCUUUCUCGAAACGACUUAUCGGGUAAUUUGCCAGUAUUCAUUGAAGACUUCAUUAUGUUGGAUCUGUCUUACAACAACUUUCAAGGGCAAGUUCCGACACUUGGGGUCUUUAAAAAUUUCAGUAUCAUACAUUUGGAGGGCAACAAGGGGCUGUGUUCAAACUUCUCCAUGCUAGCUCUGCCACCUUGUCCAGAUAACAUCACAGACACUACUCAUGUCAGUGACAUCACAGACACUAAGAAAAAGAAACAUGUGCCACUUCUGCCAGUAGUGGUGCCAACGGUCACGGUAGCUUUCCUGCUAUUGUUAUUUUGUUUAUUCAGUCUUUGGAAGAAAAUACAAGUGCAAACAGCCGCACGGCACAGUAAAAUAUGCAGUCUGUUGCAUCUUGUUACUCAUUGGAAAAGAGAAGGAGUUUGUAUAUUUCCACAGCUUGGUGCAUUGAGGAAUGCGUUGUGUUUUCUCACUCGUGGGACAGGAAGAGAUGUGGAAAUAUUUCCAAGCCACCAGGAGACACUGAAGAAGGUAUCCUAUGGUGACGUAGCUUAAGCUACAAAUUGGUUCUCGCCAGUCCAUAGAAUCAGUUCGACUCGUACCGGAUCAGUUUAUGUUGGCAGGUUCAAGUUUGACACUGACAUUGUGGCCAUCAAAGUAUUCAAUUUGAAUGAACGCGGUGCGCUUGACAGUUACUUAACAGAGUGUGAGGUGCUAAGAAUUAUACGCCACCGAAAUAUUCUUAAAUCUGUGACUCUGUGCUCAAGUUUGGAUGCAGAAAAUAAUGAGUUCAAAGCAAUAGUCUUUCAGUUCAUGGCUAAUGGCAGCCUUGAAAGGUGGCUUCAUCCUAAUCGACAGACUGAAAGACCAAAGAGAAUAUUAAGCUUGGGACAACGAAUAUGCAUAGUAGCAGAUGUGGCUUCUGCUCUGGAUUAUCUCCACAACCAACUGGUACCGCCUUUAGUUCACUGUGAUUUGAAGCCAAGCAAUGUUCUUUUGGAUUAUGAUAUGACUGCACGCCUUGGUGACUUUGGUUCAGCAAAGUUUCUCCCCCCAGAUUCUGGUUGCCUGAAACACUCAGUUCUUAUCCAAGGAACAAUUGGAUACUUGGCACCUGGUAAGUUUGAUCCCAUUUCCCUUUUUUUGCGGAUUACGCAAGAAUUUUAUAGUACUAAGAGCAUUGCAAAUUUUGCAGACUAUGGGAUGGGCUGCGGAAUCUCCACACGAGGUGAUGUGUAUAGCUUUGGAGUGCUUCUCCUAGAGAUGCUUACAGGAAAAUGCCCGACGGAUGAAAUGUUUGUGGACGGACUUAAUCUUCGCAAUUUUGCUGAAUCCAUGUUCCCAGAUAGGCUUGCAGAGAUUCUGGAUCCCCAUAUGUUGCAUGAGGAAUCUCAACCGUGCACAGAAGUAUGGAUGCAGAGCUACAUUAUUCCACUGAUUGCCCUUGGCCUCUCAUGUUCCAUGGGAUCUCCAAAAGAGAGACCUGAUAUGCGAGAUGUGUGUGCAAAACUCUCUGCUAUCAAAGAAAGCUUUUCUGAAGUCUCAUGAUCAAUUAUCGAAUUCCCCUUGAUGGUGUUAGUAUCAUAUGUGUAGACUGCUAAUUUGUAAUUGAGAGGGCCUGUCUAUUUGACUGACUGAAUUAAUGUUUCCAGAGAAGAUUAAGAGUUGGCAUGAGACAAAUCAAAUUCAUAUGUGAAUAGGAGGUAUUGAGCUUGAUCUGUUUCUUAUAUUAUGCACGAAGUUUGGAUGUGUUUUGAUCAGAUUUAAAAAAAAAACAAUCUAAAUUUCAUAAAAAAAGAGAGAAAAUUUUGGCUUGUCAAUGAUCAAUAUCUAGGGAAUUUUUUGCUGGCAGUGCAUUAACGCUGAAAUACCAGAGAACUUGGCUCUUUCAAUCAUUUAAUUAGGACGGACAAAUCUGAUUGCCAAUAUCGGAAGAAAUACUUUCAACAUAGUCCAGUAUAAGAAAUUAACGAGUGCCGAACUCUUCGGAGGUCCGUGAGCUGUUUCCGAUGCGGUUGCUGGUGGUGGUGGUCGAAGUUGAAGGUUGCUGACGAGACUUCCUCUAGUUGGGUUGAAAAAUCACCUGUAAUGGAUUCCGAAAACAUCCUGCUGUGGAAUAUAUGUGGGCUAGGCUAAACUCCUCUCCACAUUAUGUCAUGUUGUGUAGUACAUGAACGGGUGAGAAUUUUUUUUUAUUUUUAGCCCAAAUUUAGAACAAAUACAAAAUUUGACCCGGUUUACGAACCUGCCAGCCCGUACUGACGUGGACCCGCCAUGAUCCAUGGCGGGGUAUAACCGCGCCCGUUAAAAACGCGUUCAUUUGCCCACCUCGGCUCAUUUCUCUCCCUCUCUCACCCCGAGGGCCUCUCUUUCUCUCCCUCUCUCACACCCGAGCGCCGCUCUUCUCCAGUGACCCUCCCCGCCGUCCUUCAACCCCACCCCUUCCCGGCACCCCUCCCCGCUGCAGCCGGCCAUUGCCGAUCCUUGUCCCGGUCACCUCUCGUUUGAAUAAGGUAAAUUUCUUAUUUACUUUACGUUCAUUUGUUAAGUUCAUUUGUUUAGCUAUAGUAUGUUUGGUAAAUUUUUUAUUAUGUUAGUUUGUUUAGUUACAGUAUGUUAGUUUGUUUAGUUAUGUGAUUUGUAUUGAAUUAUUUGCGCGUUUUUAGAUGGAGGACUCGUAUCGUGAGUCGAUUUGGCGAAAAAAGGGUCGUCCUAGAAAGUUGUACCCCGACGUGUCUUGCAAGGAUGCCUCCGUGCCUCCCAAGGAACCUAUUCCUAACUGUGAUUGUGGACAUCCGACACACGUGAGCCAGUCGAGAUAUCUGGAUACUGCGGCACGUUGCUUCUACAUAUGUUAUAGUUGUAGCGUACGUCACUGUUGAAAGAUCCUAAUAUGGCUAGAGGGGGGUGAAUAGCCUAUUUAAAAAUUCUACAAACCCACUAGAGCAAGAGGUUAGUAAAUAACAAAGCGAAGCUUUUUCUCUAGCUCUAAAGGGGUGUUUGCAAGCCACCUAUCCAACAAUUCUAAUUAAUAUAAUCACUAGGCACACAAGAGCUAAGUCACUACUUACACUUGAAAGCUACCUAAAGUUUCUAUACAAGUAAGUAAGCUACUCUAGAUUGCGGGAAUGUAAAAAGAGAUGGUUUGAUCUUUAUACCACCGCGUAGAGAGGAUGAACCAAUCAAUAAUAUGAAGUCCAAUCACCGGGAGAAAUCCAAUGAACAAUCACAAUAGAGACACACAAUUUCCUCCCGAGGUUCACGUGCUUGCCGGCACGCUACGUCCCCGUUGUGUCGACCAACACUUGGUGGUUCGGUGGCUAAGAGGUGUAGCACGAACCUCGUCCUCACUAGGACACCACAAGAACCUACCCACAAGUGAGGUAGCUCAAUGACACGAGCAAUCCACUAAUGUUGCCUUUGACUCUCCGCCGAGGUAGGCACAAACCCCUCACAAUCACCGGGAGAUGGCCACGAACAAUCACCAACUCAUGCCAAUCCUCCUCCGCUGCUCCAAGCCGUCUAGGUGGCGGCAACCACCAAGAGUAACAAGAAAACCGCAGCUAGAACGAUCCCCAAGUGCCACUAGAUGCAAUCACUCAAGCAAAUGCACUUGGAAUCACUCCCAAUCUCACAAAGAUGAAUAAUCUAUGAAGGAGAUGAGUGGGAGGUGUUUGCUUAGGCUCACAAGUAUGUCAAGUAUGCUAGAAUGCCAAGAGUGUGAGCCCUAAGCCGGCCAACACGUAUUUAUAGACCCCUCAACAAAAAAGAGUCGUUGGCUCUUUUCACUGGGCAAAACACGGGGUCACCGGACGCUCAAUUCCUGCGUCCGGUGCUCCAAUGUCAGCCACGUGUCGCCUUUUGAAACGCUCGUGUCAGAGUCUAACGGUCACCUGUAGUGCACCGGACGCUGAGCAAGCGCGUCCGGUGCACACCCGUCUAAAACACAGAGAGGUCUGCAAACGCGCGAGGUCACCGGACUUUGAGCACCGGACGCUCCAGCCUACGUCCGGUGCUCACCGGACUUAAACCCAGGGAGCACUGCAAAACGCGCGGACAUCGGACUCAGAACACCGGACGCUCCAGCCUGCGUCCAGUGUCUGGUGUCUGGUGCCUUACCCUAGCUGAGCCAGGCACUGACUGCACCGGACGCUCAGACUUCUCUAAAUUUCCCACUGGCGUAAUAGAAAAUAUGCACUUCAUUUUCUCGAAAAGCGCCGAAUCUCGCCUCGCAAGCUCGGCAAGAGGGAGAGAGAAACCCACCCUCUCUCUACCCUUCAAACUCCACCUCCUUCUCAAAGUGUGCCAACACCACAACAUGUGUACCAACAAGUGCACGUGUGUUAGCAUUUUCACAAUCAUUUUCUUUGAAGGAGUUAAGUUAGCUCACUAGGUUCUAAAUGCAUGCACAUGAACAAUGACACCUAGUGGCACUCGAUAACCGCUUAGCCAAAGAAUUCCCCUCUUUAUAGUAUGGCUAUCGAUCCUAAAUGUGAUCACACCCUCUAUGGUGUCUUGAUCACCAAAACCAAAACCCUAAGCAAUACCUUUGCCUUGAUCUCCAUAGGGUUUUGUUUUUCUCUUUCUUCUUUUCCAAGUUGAGCACCUGAUCAUCUUGUGGUCAUCACCAUCAUCACCAUGAUCAUCUUUUGCUCCAUUACUUGGCAUGUACCAACCUCAUUAAGUCUACACAUACUUAGCAUAGAGGUCAGUACUAGGGUUUCAUCAAUUAUCCAAAACCAAACUAGGGCUUUCAACUGUGCCCUCUGUUUUUCUUAUUGGUUUUUUGAUGUUUUAUUCCCAAUGAGACAAUUGAAACUCUUUUGUAGCCCUACUUCCGGUGCUUUUUCUUCCAAUGGAUCGACGGGCUGGAGAAGUUUGACCCAAGAAUUCUGCUUUUCUACCCCAGCGUUGAUCAUUGCAAACGUGAGUUGUUUACUCGCUGGGUUCCGCCCCCCUAACCCUCCUCCUAUGACGGAGGAAGAGAAGGUCGUUGCCUCUGCACGACGGCUCGAGGAUCCUCCAAACUGUCAUUGCGGAGAACAAGCCGUGGUAAAUCCACGAAAUGAACAAGAGUUCAUUUGUCCUCUGCGGCGUGAAGUAAGUUUUGAGUUAACCUUCAAAUGUCACUUUGUAUAUGUGUGUUCUAAUGUGUUGUUUUUGUAGGAUCAUGAUUUUCCAAAGUGUCAUUUCGCGGAGUGGGUCUAUGGUCCAAAGAGCCAUUGGCCAGAGCCUGAGAAGGAGGAGAAGGUGCCAGAGUGGAAGAAGAAGAGGAGGUCUAUUGCGCCUCCCGUGAUGUGCAAAUGUGGUGUUGAAGCUAGCUACGGCCUAGUCCCUUCAGGUCUUGGUAUUGGCCACUUCUGUGGCCACAUGAUUGACUAUGAUGAGAUUUGCUAGGACUGUGGAUAUUUAGUACUAAUGUAUUCAUAUAUUUGUUUUUGUACACUAACUUUGUAUUCAUAUAUUUCCUGUAAUAGAGCACUCAAAAAUGCAAAUGGGAAUCAUCUGAUGAUGUGUUUAAGUUCAAGGAUGAGUAUAAGACAAGAGUAGCAGUUCGCAAGAUGAGAGGUUAUCCUGCUAACUAGGUCACUGAUUUUGUGAAGGACCAUAAGAAGAAAAUGCUUGCAUGGGCCCAGGAGUUGCGUGUUCAUAACCCUGCGAGUAUUGCAUGGAAGAAGUGGUCCGAGGAGAGGGAAAAGGAGGUAUAGGAGUACCAGGCAAGGAAGGAUGGAGAGGAUGCAAGGAAGGCUGCGGAGGAGGCUGAGAGAGGUGAGAUGCAAGGCUUGAAUGAUACUAUUGCCUCAUUAUGUGCAAGUGAGUCAUUACGUUUUUGAAAGUCAAACUUUUUGUUUCUCUUGAACGAACAUCUUGUUAAUUCUUUGAAUUUUGUACUUACAUAGAUUGGAUGCACCGGGAACUGGCAAACAGAUGUGGGUCGUGCUAAGUACACGGAGAAUAGGAUAUUAGGGUGGGACGCUGGAGUUGGUGGCACCGCUAGCCGUCCGAUUGUGGUCGAACCGAGCUAGUGGAAGACGAUGACACCGGGGGGAUAGGCGAGCUCAUUCGUCUUGCCGAGGAUUUGGGCUACCCUCAGGUCUGGAUAAGGCACGUAGUCCUCACCAUAAUAUGGAGGCCACUGCGACUCAUCAAGGUACGGCUCGAAGCUCUUCUCUGAAACAUUUAGGGUGUUCGCAUGGAGAUACAAGGCUGACAUGUAUGGUUCAACUGUAUGGUCAAAACCUCUAAGCCGACAAGACAUAAUCAUGUGUGAGCAAGGGGCAUGCAUGAUCUGAGGGACGUUGCAACUGCAUUCUACUUUUUCAAGAUCCACACGGUACGUUCGCCCACCAAAUCGUUCGCCCCCAAGGUUUGUGCCCCCUCUAGCUCGUAGGCUAAAAACAAGCCUAUCUCGUCCAUAGGCCUCGUCAACCUGUUACUUGGACAACUCCUCAGCCUCCUGCAAAUAUUCAUGUGCAGCCUUCCCCCAUCUUUCAAGCUCCUCUUCAUUCCUCAGGGCUAGACCAUACCGCGUAACAAAAUAUUCAUUGCACUUCUUACAAGAGAACUCAACAAUACCGGACACUGGUAGAGAGCGAACGUCUUUGAACACACGAUUGAAAGACUUAGAGGAGUUUGUUGUCAUGAUGCCAUACCGAAAGCCACCCUCAUCAUAUGCUAAUGCCCACUUGGCUUUAUUUUCCAUCUGCUGAUCUAACCAUGCCUUGCCCGCUCGGUUCAGCAUCUUCUGUAGUUCCACCAUUGUCUCCUUAAACUCGUGUUCCGUACGUUUAUUACAAAGCUCCUUUAACUUGUCUGCCACCUCCUUCUUCCGUUGACAACGCCAGAAAUUUGCAGCAAAAUGCCUCAUGCACCAACAGUGCACUAGGGGUGGGUGCCCAUCAAUGUGUUCACCGGCAGCAUUAAGAAUUUCAAUGUGAUGAUCUGAAAUUAAACAAAUGGUGCGAGAAGGCCCAAGCACAUGAACACGGAGCAGACGCAUGAACCAUGACCGUGAAUCAUUGUUCUCCCCCUCGGCCAAAGCAAAAGCCAGUGGCACAAUCUGGUUCUCUGGGUCUACAGCAGCAGCCAUCAUCAAUGUGCCCCUGUACUUGCCGGUGAGGAAUGUGACAUCAACAAUAACAACUGGCCAACAAUACUAAAAUGCAUGCUUGCACUGAUCAAAAUACCAGAACACACGGUAUAGAAUAUGCCUCAACGAGUUCUAAAGAUACAACCCUCCUAUGUAUAUGAACGAUCUCAUGCCAGGGUUGAAGUGUUGCAUUGCACACAAAAUGCGUGGAACCCUAUUAUAGGCUUCCUCCCAACUACCCCAGCGAAUUGCCAGGGCAAUUUGCUUUGCCCGCCAAGCCUUUCCAUAAGUGACCUCAUACCCAACAAAAGUGACUAUGGUCUCUUGCAAGAAAGACAUCGAUACGUCGUUGCCCUUAUCUACAAGACCCAAUAUACUGCGAGCAAGAUACCAAGCCGUCAACUGGGGAUGGUACCGUUUGCCCUUGUUAGUCUGGCAUCUCUGGGGCUGCUCCACUGAAGUUACCUUCCACUUCCCAUCACUCGACCGUUUCCGUCCAUUCAAUUUCCACGAGCACGGGAACCCUGCCUUGCAUACUAUGUGGAAUUUUACAUCCUUGUCGGAAUGCCGAACCGUGUAGAGCCUAUGAUACACAGCAUAGUCCUGAAGGAACAACUUCAUCUCAGACAUCGUAUUGAAAAGCAUUCCCUUCCUGAGUAUUAAAUUUUGAUGGUUGUACAAUGAUUCCUUACAUAUCUGCAAACCCGUGUCACAAACCGCCAUAUGCGACAUGCUGACAUCCAUAUAAUUUGGAACACCGGUAAAGGGCAAGCCAGCCUCACUCAGCUGUGUAAGCUCUACUGAUGUAUAAGAGGGUUGUGCAACGUAAGGUUCCGCCUCCCUAACCCGGCCCCAUCCUUCAUAUUCCUCUCCAUCACCUAGAUACCCUGUGGCUAAAGUGUCGUGAGUCUGCAUGGCAUGAGGUACCUCAAGUGGCACUUCUGAGGGCAUGCCACAAACCGGUGUACACAUGCAGGUGGACCUCCUUCCUCAUUUUUUGAUUCGUCAGAAUCAGAGCUAACAUCAGCACCAAUCAUUUCAUCCUCUGCCGCCUCAUUCUCCUCCUAUUUAAACUCGUCUAUAUCAAAAUCAUUGCUUAUAUGACCAACUGGAGGAGAAUGAACCCGCUCCUGCGUCCAAUUACCGUCCAAGUCCAUACUCUCUAUAGUUUGUUGAACCUGCACACCACAAUCUCCUUGAGUACCACCGUCGAAGAACGACUCCUCAUUCUCAACAUGCUCCAACACCAACUCAGCCAUGCCGGCAUUCGAACCACUCAGCUUGGUUGCACAAGUCCAUCAUCACAUAGUGUGCCCUAUUCUUUCCAACGUCAAACCUACCCUUAAGUGUGAAAGCAUCGCCAAACUUCAAACUCAAACGGUCACAUAGAGCGCUGAAACUAGGGGGGCCAUCAAACCAUUCUAAUUCCUCAUACAUAUCCUCAGACUGACAAUCCUCUCUCCUAACACUUCCUCCGUAAAAAACUCUUACACCAUAAUCCCUCUACAAAACGACAUCAACUAAUCAAUAUGGUAGUAACAAAUACUAAAUAACUAACUAAGUACAACACUAACUAAUUAAAGUUAUUACCUAUUUCUGACAAAACCAACUAACUUACUAACUAAAUUACUAAAUAACUCUAAUAAUAUUAAAUAAUAAUAGUAAUAACUAAUUACUACAUAACUAACUCUAAUAAUAAUAUUUAAAAAUAAUAACUUAAAAAUAAAUACUAAAUAACUCUAAUAAUAUUAAAUAAUAAUAGUAAUUAAUAACUAAUUACUACAUAACUAAUAACUAAACAAAGUUUAACUAAUAAAAAUAACUAAUAAAAACUGUUAAAAAAUAGCUAAUAAUAAGAGUUUAAAUAAAAAAAUAUACCUUCACCACAAACGCCGGCCGGCUGGGGCACGGCGCGACCUACGGGCGCGCAGGCGACGGCGCGGGCGGCGGUGCGGCGUGCGAGGGGGUGGGGCGGCGUGCGCGGGGGCGAGGGGGUCGGAGCGCGGUCUAGUCGGAUGCGUGAGGAGGAGGGAAGAGAAAGGAGACUGCGCAUUUUUGUCACGGGGCGAACCCCGCCGUGAUGGGUGGCGGGGUACGCCCCCUGCCGCGCCAGCCAGGCGCCACGUGGCGGCCCUACCCCGCCGCCAUGCAUGGCGGGGUGCAGUGCAUUUGCCCGCCAUACAUGGUGGCGGGUCCAAACGGGUUAGUUUUAAAAAAAAUUCAAAAUAAGAUCAAAUUUGUAUUUUGUUUCAAAUUUGGGCUAAAAAUAAAAAAAAUCACGGAUGACGCUCGAGCGGAUCUAUCUUUUGAAUGGUAAUUUAAAUAGAGUACAAGAAUAUUUCAAAAGUACUUUAAAAUAGUCUUUAAACGGUUUUCAAAGUAUUGUUUAAAAAGGGUUUUACAAAUGUGUUUGAAAAUCAAGUAUUUCAAAUAUAUUCUCAUAGUUCGUAUUUUUAAAGUUCAAAAAGUUUAACAGAUCAUAUAAUUUGAACCUAGUUUAAAAUUGUGUUUGAAGAAUUAUAAAAUCCUCCUUUUUAUCUGCGGCAAAUUUCAGCCUAGAACUCAUCUUCUAUUUUUUUUGUUCUUUACUUUUAUAUAUAACUAGCCGGGAUCGCCGUGUAGUUGCACGGGGUACCAACCUGUUGGUGCAAAAGCUGAUCUGCAAACACAAAGGGCUAAUACCCGAUUCAAACGUUAAGGCGUGCCAGCCCAUUUGACCGUACUAUCGGCAAAGGUGGUAACUCGAACACUUUGGUCCCGACAACAGCGAUGCGCUCGGAUGUCACGGCCAAGAGGUAUUCACAUGGAACUUGAGAACACGCCGAGCUUAAGUCGAUGAAUUCCUAAAAACUCGUAAUGAAAAGGAAAAAGUAUGACAAAGUCGUCGAAAAAGUAGAUGCUGUAAUAUGAGUAAAAAUUUGUGUUUGAUUGAUUGAUAGAUAUCUCAUUACAAGGCGCUAGGGUCUACAUUUAUACCCUGCUCAAAGAGCUACAACCAGACACGACUAGAACUCGAAUUCCAAAUUACACAGAACCUGUAUACAAAACGAUUUAAACAACUAAGGAAAACAUAAAGCUAUCCCCCCUGACAAACUGGAGCUCCUCCACAAACCGAUCGGCAACUUCCAGACUCUUCCCCCAUGUCAUCGGCAGACUCCCUUGUCGUAGCCAUCGGUACAGACACGUCGUCACCUGUGGACUUAGUCAUGUUCAACCAUCCUUCCAUCGGCAACCACUUCCAUCGGCAACUCUCCCUGUAGAUCAAGCACCACCAUCUCAUCUUGCCGAUCCACACUUUACCGAUCAUGGACACGUGCCCAAAAACGGUGUUAACACAUGCCCCCCAAUUUCAGAGUAUGAGAUCAUUAAUGCUCCGAAAUUUUCUGCAGUAACGAUGCCUUUUCCGCAAUUAAUGCUCCUAAUCUGGUAACCGACAGCCUCAAUCCGAACAACUCCGAUCCUAUUAUUCUCCAGAUUCCUCGAAAUCCUCAACUUCCCCAAACGGACAUUUCCGCUUUAGUCGCACAUCGGCAAUAUGACCGUUACAGAGACUUGCCGAUGGACGUCCAUAUCUUAUCAUUCCAAACGGCUAUCUCCACAUUACUCUCCCAUCGGCAAUAUGACCGUUACCAGGCGCUGCCGAUGGACCGACCAGGAGAUCCCGCACAGUAAAAUAUCUCUGGAUAACGACCGCUUCCCGUCAAAUCACCUGCACAAUCCCUUGAUUACCGUGCGAACAGUUACCAUAUCUACCCGAGCACCCUCGGAUUUCACAGAUACGGCAAAGAGAUAAGUCAAUUUUGCCCUUGCCCGUUUUGUCCUAUAAAUAGUUCCUUCUCGGGUACUCCUUCUCCAUCACAUCAUUCCACACCUCGGACUUUUCUCUCCCGGCGGCGGCGCUGUUCAAGAGCCCCAAGAUCGCUGCCGAAGUCCUCCUCCACCAACUCCGAAGCUCUCGAUCAUCCUCCCCGUGACAAGAUGGCCGUCAACUUCGUCAUCCCUGAGGUCAGUUCUUCACUCCAUCCUUCGUACCUUUUUCACACCCCUGUUCAUCCACAAUCCAUUUUACUGAAUAUUUUCUUUCUCUUUCUUUGUUUCCCCCUUUUUCCUCCAAAAUCACUAGGAAUUGUCUAACAAAAUUGUCAUCCCCACCGAUCAACCACACCUCCAAUGCCUUGGCCCGUUAGGGGAUUCAGAUCCAACCGACCUCAUUAACGCAGAAACCAAUAGGAUUCCUUUUAGAGCCGAGAACUUUUCUUUGGAUCUGUGGAAGGAUACUUUCCGUUCCUGGCCCAACCCUAUUGUGGGAUGGACGGAUUGGUUUCUUAGGGUCAGCAAUUCAAACGAAGUCCAGUGGGGUGAGAGAAAGCUAGACCAAUGCAUUAGAUUGUCCAUCGCUGAUAUGCACAGGAAUGAAUCACUGCUGAUAGCUGCAUCAUAUUUCUGGUCAGACACGCUCAACGCCUUUAUUUUUGGCCACGGCCCUGCUUCCCCUACUCUUGCCGAUGUGGCUAUGCUUACCGGCCUAGAUGUAUCUUCUGCCGAUAGCACCCAUUUUUUCGACACCAAGCCCAGUGCCAAAGUAGAAACCCGUUCCAUCGGCGGCUGGUCAGGGUAUAUUCAGAAAUAUAAACGAACAGGCCCUGUCAACAUAAAAGAGCAGACCUGCUUCCUGAACAUGUGGCUAGAUAAGUUCGUGUUUUGCGGGCGAUCGGCAGGACCAACCUCGGUCCACUUAGCGGCAGCUGAAAAUCUGGCCAAUGGUGGCCGAUUUCCCCUCGACCGAUACCUGCUUGGUGUAGCCUACCACCUCCUUCACCAAGUGACUAGGAAACUCUUGCUCGGCCAGUCUAUCAGCAACUUGUGAGGCCCCUGGUGGUUCAUCCACAUGUGGCUCAAUCUUCAUCUGCACAAGUGCCUUGAGUUUGACCUGUUCGCACAGCGUUUUUCAAGGGACAUAGCCGAGAACCAUGUGCUGGACGAGGAAGAAUCGGCAACACGCUCUCCCUUGAACUUCGGUGAAGCUGUCAUAGUUCUGCCUGGUACAGGGGGUAAUCCAGAUCAGGUCAGCCGAUUCUUCCAAACCUUGUAUGAAGGUUUGGCCAGAGAUGAGCGAGCGUGGUUGGCCUACGAUGACCCAGACAAUAUGCUUCCCCUGGUUUUCAACCCGUUCAAUGAUGCCCUUGGCAAGGACAACGAAGUGAUGAUGGCAUUGGUGACUCCUAGAGCCAUACCGGUGAACUUCUUUAGUAGUGAGAAAACCUCCCCCCAGACUUAUGAGUUCUACAAUCCAUCGGCACUAGCUCGUCUGUUAGCUUUCGACCAGCUGCCGAUUGCACUCUGCUAUGCCGAUGUAAUAAAGCCCAGGGAAACCAUCACCAGCCUCCUGGAAUGGAUUCGAGUAGCCCAACUGCCAUCGGGUGCCGAUACAGACGUAGACUUGUCGGAGUGGGUUCCAGCCGCCUUCAUCACUCAGGCGUACAAGCAGUGGUGGGCAGAAUGGAAGGAGCAUCUAUUCUGCAAAUCGGCCCUCACGUACCGCGGUAUGAUCGACCCCGAGUACAAAGUCCCCGAUGAUACUGUAAGUGUCUUCAAACCGAUGUUCCAAUUCUUCCAAUUUCAUUUCCAUCACUGAUUUACUUUUGUAUCAUUUUGCAGGUCGAUAACACCCCUCCAUCGGUCAGUAGAAGUGGCAAGCCGAUUGAUCUGUUUGCAUCAGGUCCAAUUUCUUCAAUCGGCCACAACGCCCCUACCCUGGCUGCCAUCGUGCAUCGAGGUAUACGCCUCAAGAAAGUUACCACCAGGAGAACUCAGACAUCACCAUCGGUAGCUGCUUCCACUCUAGCACAGGCUUUUAAGGUAACUGUCAAACCUCAUCAUUCAUACCGAUCUUACUUUUACAUCGGCUGCAUUUGUACUCACAAAUUCUUUUUUCUGUAACAGCAAACCAGUGCAUCGGCAAGAACCAAGAGCCAAGGUGCCGAUGCCCCCCAGUCCAGCCAGCAAAAGAGAAAGGGUGCCAAGAGUACCAGGGCACAAACGAAGUGCCAGAAAGUGGCAACUCCCCCUCCUCCUCCUCCGGUAUCUCCCAUUCCGGUGGAAUCCUCUCCUUCUCCUCCAGAAACAGAUACUCAGCAAGCACCAUCUCCCCCUCCAAUGCAAGAAGCACCACAGGUGGAAGAACCUCAACUGGAAGAACCUCAACAGGAAGUACUUCAGCCAGAAGACACAUCGACUGAUGUUCAUGAACCAACUGCCGAUCCAGCAGGUUCCAUUAUAGCAUCGGUGGUUUCUUCCAUUCAGACAAGCACUGCCCUUCCUCAAGGUAACACAUUUACAAAGUUAGCGCCGAUGAACCUAUUUUUCCCAUCUUAUAACCACUUGUAUCAAUCUUCAGCUGAUGUAGUUCCAUCGGCAACUCUGGCCGAUCAACCCGUGGCUCCAUCGGCAUCUUCCAGUAAGCCAUCCAACCUCUAUUAAUAUUAUUUGCUGAUGCUCUGACCAUAGAAUGACUCACUUUGUUUCCUUUCCAGGAGCAGGAUUCCCCCGACAGCCUAUUCUCCUUUGCCAUUGAUAUCUCCGAAGAUGAGGGUGAGGAAGCAAGUUCCUCCCGGGCAGUUGGGAUCGCAUCGGCAGAGAUUAGGGCCAAGCUAGAAGAACUGUCGGCUCUCCUCUAUCAAGACACGGCUCAAUUGGUCGAUGACUCUGACCCGGCCAAGGUUCUGUUCAAGACCCUCAGAGGCCAGAUCGUUGCCGAUGCCGAAGAAACCCUCUUCCAAGCCGCACAUCUGGAGAGUCGUCACCUGCAGUACCAGAGGGCCGCCCGGCGCCUUGCCGAUAGAGCCGCUCAGACCCGGCUUUCUGAAGAAAUGAUGAGAGAGAAGCUCCUGACCGAUGAGAAGCACAAGAACAUCGGUACCUUGAAGUCUUCAGGAAACGCACUGAAGCAAAAGAUCUUCGACCUAUCGGCAAAACGAGAAGCCCUGCUGGCAGAGCUCAAGCAGGUGGAGGAUGCCUUAUCCCAAGCCCAACAGGAAGAGAGUCAACUGCCAGAGACCAUCAAACUCCUUGAACAAGAACGAAACGCCCAUGGUCGCAAAGCUUUGCAGUUGAAGAAGAAGCUGAAGCCGAUAGAAGGUUCUGCCGACGACAAGUCAAAGAGAUAGAAGCAGCCAACCAAAUCCGGCUGCGCGCCAUAUCGGCGAUCCAGGCACUGCUAAGCAUGUGAGUUCUUCAUCGGCAACACACCUACCUCUCCCUGCUCUUCAACUUUCUUGAUGUUUAGUCUAGCCGAUAGGACUGUUAUCGGCAACUUUUGAUACAUUAAGUCCGGCCCCAGAUACAUUUUAAUCCAGCCGAUAGGAGUGUUAUCGGCAUUUAAAUUUCAUGCAUCGACCCGUAUGCUGGGGUAGUACUUCUUCAAAUAUUUGCCAUUUAAUGCUCUGGGAAAUUCAACUCCUUCGAGAGUUUCUAAAAUGUAGGCGUUACCAGGGGCCGAUCGACUUAUCCGAUAGGGACCCUCCCAAUUAGGAGACCAUUUUCCAAACUUCGAACUUUUAGUCCCGAUCGGUAAAAUCAAUUUCCAUACCAAGUCUCCAUUGACAAACUCCUUAGCCUUCACUUUCUUAUCGUACCAUCUGGCAACCCUUUUCUUAUUCUCUUCUAUACUCAUCAAAGCCCUUAGCCGAUGCCCUGCUAGAUCAUCCAACUCAUCUGUCAUCAAAGUAGCAUAAUCAUCGGCAGCCAACUGAUCUUGAAAAGACAGUCACCUAGAUCCAGCCUUAAUUUCCCAAGGCAACACUGCAUCAUGUCCAUACACCAACUGAUAAGGCGAAACCUUAGUUGACCCAUGACAAGCCAUCCGAUAGGACCAUAAGGCUUCAUUUAACAAUGUGUGCCACCUUCUAGGAUUUUCUUCAAUCUUCCGUUUAAUAAGCUUAAUGAUUCCUUUGUUAGACGCCUCGGCCUGCCCAUUAGCCUGAGCAUAGUAAGGAGAGGAAUUUAACACUUUAAUCCCCAUACCGAUUGCGAAUUCAUCAAAUUCUCCUGAUGUGAACAUAGUACCCUGAUCGGUAGUAAUUGUUUGAGGAAUCCCAAAUCGGUAAAUAAUAUGCUCCUUCACAAAAUCAAUCAUAUCGGCCGAUGUGACUUUCUUCAAAGGAAUAGCUUCAACCCAUUUAGUGAAAUAAUCAGUGGCAACUAGAAUAAACUUAUGCCCUUUGCUAGAUGGCGGAUAAAUUUGACCGAUCAAAUCAAUAGCCCAUCCCCGGAACGGCUAAGGUUUGAUAAUGGGAUUCAUGGCCGAUGUGGGUGCUCUUUGAAUAUUGCCAAACUUUUGACAUCCUUGACACCCUUUGAAAUAUUUAAAGCAAUCUUCAAGUAUGGUCGGCCAGUAAUAUCCAUUCCUCCUAAUCAUCCACUUCAUCUUGAAAGCCGACUGAUGUGCUCCACAUACCCCUUCAUGGAUUUCUCCCAUCAAACUUCUAGCUUCAUCAUCACCCAAGCAUCGGAGAAGAAUCCCAUCAAUAGUUCGGUAGUACAAUUCAUCUUCGAGGAGCACAUACUUGGUGGCUUGAAACCGAACUCGCCUCUCGACUUUCUUGGAUGGAUCUUUCAAAUAAUCAACGAUUUCUUUUCUCCAAUCAUCGGCACCAAUUGCCGAUAUUGCGUCAAUCAUAGGCUGAUAUCCCGAGGCAUGCUGAGCCAACCGAUUGGCCUCUUCAUUAUGCAAUCGAGGAACAUACUCUAAUCGGAAAUCCUUGAAUUCCUUCAAUAAUUGCAUACUCCGUUCGUAAUAAGUUAUGAGACCUUCACUUCGGCAUUCAUAGCUUCCAGCUAAUUGAUUUAUAACCAACAUAGAAUCCCCGAAGACCUCAACAGCAUCAGCAUGAACUUCUCUCAACAACUCUAAUCCCCUUAUUAAGGCUUGAUAUUCAGCCUGAUUAUUCGUUGAUGUGGCAACAAUCGGCAAGGAAAACUCAUACUUCCUUCCCAGAGGGGAAACUAAUACUAUCCCGAUUCCUGCCCCCUGGUCACAUGUGGAUCCAUCAAAGAAGAGCGUCCAAGGCAUAAUUUCCAAAGCCUCCACUGUACCGCAAUGUUGAGUUACAAAAUCGGCCAUGAUCUGCCCUUUAACUGCCUUAGCCGAUUCAUAAUGCAGAUCGAACUCCGACAGCGCCAAAAUCCAUUUACCGAUCCUGCCACUCAUAAUCGGCAUGGAUAGCAUAUACCGGACCACAUCAUCUUUGCAAAUAACGGUGCAUUCGGCCGAUAACAAGUAGUGCCUUAACUUGAUACAAGAGAAAUAUAGGCACAAGCACAGUUUCUCAAUAGCCGAAUACCUGGCCUCAGCAUCAAUCAACCUCCUGCUUAAAUAAUAAAUUACACGCUCCUUCCAUUCAAACUCUUGAAUUAAAGCCGAACCGAUGACCAUCUCAUCGGUAGACACAUACAAUCUGAAGGGCUUCCCUUGCUGAGGUGGAAUUAGAACUGGAGGAUUUAUUAAAUAAUUCUUGAUUUCAUCCAGAGCCAACUGCUGUUCCUUCCCCAAACAAACUCUUGAUCGGCCUUUAACUUAAGAAGAGGGCUGAAAGCACGAAUUUUGCCAGACAAGUUAGAUAUAAACCUUCUGAUAAAAUUUACCUUGCCGAUCAAGGAUUGGAGCUCGGUCUUGUUGGUAGGGGCUACUAUCUUAUUGAUGGCAUCAAUAGAUCUUCGACUGAUUUCAAUUCCCCUCUGGUGCACCAUGAAACCAAGAAAUUGCCCCACCGAUACACCAAAUGCACACUUAUUGGGAUUCAUUUUCAAACCAUGCUUCCUUGUGUAUUCUAACACCUUUCGUAAAUCGGCAAGAUGCUUUGCGAAGUCUCCAGACUUAACCACCACAUCAUCAAUAUAAAUCUCCACCAGCUUGCCGAUGAACUCAUGAAAUAUAAAAUUCAUAGCCCUUUGAUAAGUAGCACCAGCGUUCUUCAAGCCAAAGGUCAUAACUAUCCAUUCAAACAACCCAACAUGACCAGAGCACCUGAACGCAGUCUUUGGAAUAUCUUCUUCAGCCAUGAAUAUUUGAUUGUAUCCUGCAUUGCCAUCCAUAAAGCUAAUAAUCCGAUGCCCGGCCGCAGCGUCGACUAGCAGAUCGGCAACUGGCAUUGGGUAUCCAUCCAUCGGUGUAGCCUUAUUAAGAUUCCUGAAAUCAAUGCAGACCCGACGCUUCCCGUUCUUUUUGUAGAUCGGAACAACGUUGGAAAUCCAUUCGGCAUACCGACACUGCCGAAUAAACUUGGCUUCAAUAAGUUUGGUUAUCUUGGCCUUGAUGUCAGGAAGAAUAUCAGGAUUACAUCAGCGAGCUGGCUGCUGAUGAGGCCGAAAUCCAGAUUUGAUGGGUAGCCGAUGUUCAACAAUCGAUCGGUCCAAACCAGGCAUCUCAGUAUAAUCCCAAGCAAAGCAAUCUUUAUAUUCCUUUAACAAAUCAGUCAACUAUUGCUUACACUCAGAAUCUAACUUAGCACUAAUAAAAGUGGGUCUAGGCUUAUCACCACUACCUAUAUCUACUUCUACUAGAUCAUCGGCCGAUGUGAAUCCCUGGCCUAAUUUUCCAUCAUCGGCGAACCUAUCCAUUAAAAACCUUCAUCAGAACCGACUGCUUGGAUCGGUGGAAUCUCGUAAUCGGCAACCUUGAGAAAAUCCUUUUCCCAAACUUCUCCCGAAAUACACCUAGUCCUUUCAUAGGUGUCCGCCUCUGCCGAUGCGAUGACAUAAGAAGAAUCUCCUGGGACAAUUUCAAUCUUGUCACCUACCCAUUGAACCAAGCAUUGGUGCAUUGUAGACGGGAUACAACAAUUAGCAUGAAUCCAAUCCGUUCCCAACAACAGGUUGUAAGCACCCUUUCCACUGAUCAUGAAGAAGGUUGUCGGCAAGGUUUUGCUGCCGAUGGUCAACUCUACACAUAUUGCCCCCUUGACCGGAGACACAUUCCCUUCAAAGUCUUUGAGCAUCAUAUCGGUCUUGGUCAAAUCCUGAUCCCCUUUCCCAAGCUUCCGAUACACUGCAUACGGCAUGAUAUUGAUAGCAGCCCCACCAUCAAUUAGAAUCUUGGUCAUCGGCUGCCCAUCAACCCUUCCUUUGACAAACAGAGCCUUGAGAUGUUGCCUUUCAUCAUCGGCAGGUUUCUCGAAGAUAGCUGUCAUCGGAUCCAGAGCCAAUUGAGCUAUUUGGUCGGAGAAUUCUAACUCAUCAUCACUGGAUGGCGCAAGGAACUCCAUCGGCAACAUAAAGACCAUGUUGACAUCUGCCGAUGGACCUUCCCCCUUGGGAUCUGAUUGCUGCUGAUCCCCAGACUGGCCAGAGUCCUCGCCCUUGCUUAACCCUUCUCGCCUUUCGCGCUGCAGCCUCCUUUUCUGUGUCCUGGUCAACCCCUCUGGACACCAUGGAGGAAGCUGCUGCUGCCUUGCUGUUGGGCGACGAUUUUCCCUCGACUCCAUCUGAUGCGUAUUGGCAUCCCUGUAAAAUAUGAACUAAUCGGGAACCCGUGCAUUAGCCAUUUCUUCGAGUUCUUCCAGGUUCCUGGGAAAAUAUUGAACACGAUCACCAAGCCUGUCGUGCACGCUGAGCCUGCCCCCCAGCCGGUCGUGAACAGACACUCUUCCUCUGAUCGGCCCAUCACAUCGCCGAUUGUCGUCGUGAUAGCGCCGAUCGGAUCUAUCAUACCGAUCAUAACCGUUGCACUCAGGGCAAUCUCUGACAGUAGGAAGCUUGAUAUUCUCUUCCCAGCAAUGAAUGAAGAACGGGCAAUUCCAGUGAUCCCUGUGCCGAUUCCAUUCUUGCCGGCGUCUUUCCUCUUCCCGACGAUAAUCCUCUUGCUGGCGCCGGUACCGAUCUUCACGUUGCUGCCAAUUCUCCCGAGGCCUUCUGUGGGUUAUAACGAUGCUAGAUCGGGGAGGCCUCCCUGAGCUGGUUCCUUCCUGGACCAAGCCUCUUCCUCUCGCAUCGGCAGUAGUGUCCUGAUGCUGAGGAUCCCCCGAUGCACUUCUUUCGGCUGCUUCCGAUGUUAAGACCUUGGCCUUUCCCUUACCAUCCAACAUGUUCGUUGGGAAAGGAUGUUGAUCGAUCUUCAUCGGCUUCUGGGUCUUGGAACUGUCAAAUUUGAUUCUCCCAGACUCUAUAGCCGAUUGCAGCUGCUGUCUGAAAACCUUGCAUUCAUUGGUGUCGUGAGAAGUUGCAUUGUGCCACUUGCAAUAUUUCAUCCUCUUUAACUCCUCAGCCGAUGGGAUCAUGUGAUUAGGAGACAGCUUAACCUGACCUUCCUGAAGUAGAAAGUCAAAUAUCCUAUUGGCCUUAGCGGUGUCAAACACAAACUUCUCUGGUUCUUUAUGUCCAAAAGGACAAGACAUCGGCUUCUUAUUCUUCACCCAUUCUACCAAGCCGAUGACUGGCUCCUCAUCAGAAUCUAAGCUUGUUGCUUCAUCAACGAACGAUACCUUUUUGUUCCAUGCUCUCUCUUGGGCUCAAAAGGCUUGAUAUCUUGAUCAGAAAUUCUCUGCACCAAAUGACUUAAGCUUUCAAACUCCUGAGAGGCGUACUUGUCCCUUAUGUGUGGCAACAAACCCUGGAAAGCCAAAUCGGCUAGCUGCCGAUCAUCCAGAACCAGACUAUAGCAUUUAUUCUUGACUUCCCGUAUCCUCUGCACAAAACUUUCAACCGAUUCAUCAUUGCGUUGCCUCAACUUGACCAAAUCGGUGAUCUUCUUCUCAUGGACCCCAGAAAAGAAGUAUUUGUGGAAUUGUUUCUCCAGAUCGGCCCAAGUAAUCACUGAAUUGGGAGGCAGUGAUAUGAACCAAGUAAAAGCCGAUCCAGACAACGAUGACGAGAAUAAGCGAACCCUUAACUCGUCCCUAUUACCAGCUUCACCGCAUUGAAUGAUGAACCUGUUGACAUGCUCCAUGGUUGAUGUGUCAUCCUGCCUAGAAAACUUAGUAAAAUCCGGUACCUUGUACUGAUGUGGAAGCGGGAUCAAAUCAUAUGCGGGAGGAUACGGUGUCCGUUAAGAGUAAGUAUUGACUUUGGGCUUUAUCCCGAAUUGGUCUCUCAUUACUUCAGCAAUCUUAUCGGCCCAAUAGGCAUCGACAUCUUGCCGAUGAGGUGUUUGCGGAUCCGGCACCUGCUGGUAAGCUUCCACGUGUCUGUGUGGUGCAUGAUCUGCAUGAAACAUCGGGUUAACCAUUUGGCCCCCAAUCUGCGGACCACCAAGCUGUUGCCCACCAAUCUGUUGUCCGCCGACCUGUUGCCCAAGAUUCAUUGGCUGGUUGGGAAUCCCCUGAUUCUGGAACCCGGGAUAGAUCUGUCCUUGCUGGAACCCUGUAGCCUGACGAUUCGGUUGGGGCUGAAAGAGCAUCUAGGCCCCUAGUGGUUUCGGUGAUUAAUGACAUUGUUGAUUACUAUGACUAACGUGUGUUUUGCAGAGGCAAAGUCAUAGGUAAGGUCAUGGUAAAUAGGUACUCGAUGAACAGGGACGUACAUGCCUACUUAAUAGUGGAAAUCGUUUUUGGUUUUCAAAGGACGGAUGGACAUCGUCAAGACUAGACUAGGUCUAAGUGCCAUAUGGUGAAGAAGGGCACUUAGAGUAGUUCAGGACUUUGUUCUCCUUUGACCGUACUAUUAAGAGGGGCUUUGAUCUAGUAGCUUGACUUAGGCAAGGCUUUAGGUUUAGGUGUGGUGCACACUUGGUAAAACUAGCACUAGGCAGCUCAGAGAUAGUCCUUAGAUCGAGAGGAACCAACUUCGUUUUGGAGCGAUCGCGUUUCGACGAAGUUUGGGUGCCCAAAGGGGCACCGGACGCUCUGUGAGUGCGUCCGGUGAGGUCCUUAGCCGUUAGAACAGUGCCGUGCUUAGGGUUAGGCACCGGACGCUAGCACCGGACGCACCGGGUAGCGUCCGGUCCCUUACCCAGGAAGGUUGCAAGCCUUCCCUGAGCACCGGACGCUAGCACCGGACGCGCCGGGUAGCGUCAGGUCCCAUGCGCAGGGAGCAUGUAAAGUUUUCCCGAGCACCGGACGGUGCACCGGACGCUGAGAGUUAGCGUCCGGUGACCUGUCAGAGAAAAGUGCAGGUAGCCGUUAUGUCACACCGGACGCUCGGUGCAAUGCGUCCGGUGCAACAUAAUGUGCGUCCGGUGACCCCGGUUUCAGUGGAAAACGGUUGGCCGACCUUUGGACUUCGUGGAUAGUAUUUAUACUCCUCCACCUCGUCCAUAAGACCUCUCUUGCCCAUUUGAACAUCAGAGAAACUUGUUGUGGAGCAAGAGAGUUGCAAGAGCCUAGAGAGGAUUGAGUUUUGAGUGAAUUCUUGAGAGAAUCCUCCUCUAGUGAGUUCCAAGAGUCAAGUGUGCAUCCACCACUCUCUAGUGACUUGUUUGGGUCAAGUGAGAGUUCUUUGCUUGUUACUCUUGGUGAUCGCCAUCACCUAGACGGUUCGGUGGUGAUUGGAGGCACGAAGAUCACCCGGAGUUCUUGUGGGUGGCUUGUGUCAAGCUUGUGAGCGGUUUUGGGCGAUUCACCGCGACGGAGUGUCGAAGAAUCAGCCCGUAGAGAGCACUUGGUCCUUGCGCGGACCAAGGGGGAGCAAGACCCUUGCGCGGGUGCUCCAACGAGGACUAGUGGAGAGUGGCGACUCUCCGAUACCUCGGCAAAACAUCGCCGAGCACUUUCUUUCACUACUCCUUUACUUUCUAGCAUUUACUUUGUGCUUUUACAUUCUUAGAAUUGCCAUGCUAGAAUAGGAUUGGAACUAGGUUGCAAAACUUUUAUCCGGUAGCUUUCUAGGACACUCUAGGCCCAAGGGGUGGAAUUGGAGCUUAUAGGUUGCUUAAAUUUUAAGAGAAGCCCAAUUCACCCCCCCUCUUGGGCAUCUUGAUCCUUUCAAUUGGUAUCAAAGCCUAGUGCUCAUUAUUUAGGCUUCACCGCCUAGAGAAAGAUGUCUAACGGGGAUGGACCGCCACCCAUGUUCGAUGGGGAUGACUUCCCGUAUUGAAAAAUACGGAUGGAGUCAUACCUUGAGGCAUGCGAUGUAAAGUGCCUAAAAGCCGCGACCGAAGGGUUUGCCCCUCCGGAAAGAGCCACCGCUCUUACUCCACAAGAGCAAGAAAACGAGAAGUGGAAUGCAAAGGCCAAAAACCACAUUUUUAGAGGUCUUUGCAAAGAGGUGUUCAACCGUGUUCGGAGCCACAAAACCGCCAAUGAACUUUGGAAGGAACUUUGUGCGCUCCAUGAGAGAACUAAGAGUGAACGCGAGGAACGCUAUCACCUAGUGAUGAACAAGCUUAAUACAUUUGAAAUGCUUCCUAAAGAAAAUGCUAAUGAAAUGUAUUCUCGCUUGAAUGUCAUUGUAGAGGAGCUAAAUGGACUUGGGCUUACACAAAUGAGUACGGCGGAUGUAGCAAGGAAGAUACUAUGUGUGCUUCCCAUUGAGAAAUAUGGGCACAUAGUAACCGUGCUUCAUCAAGGCGAUCUUUCCACCGCUACACCAACCACCAUAUUGGGGAAGAUCAAUGCUCAUGAGAUGUACUUGCACAUGAACCCUCAAGAUGGCUCCUCGUCGGCCAAGAAAGAAAAGAAGGACUUGGCUCUCAAGGCUUCUCACAAGGGCAAGGCCAAGAAGAUCGAAGUUGAGUCAUCAACUUCAAGUGAUGAUGAUGCAUCCAUUGCCCUCUUGGUGAGAACAACCACCAAGAUGUUGAAGAAGCUCAACAAGAAUGGAGUCAACUUUGACUCCAAGAAGAAGAAGUUCUUCACAAGUAGCAAGAGGAAGCCCAUCUCCGAGAUGGAUUGCUACAAUUGUGGUGAGCUUGGUCAUCUUGCUCAUCAAUGUCCAAAGCCCAAGAAGGACAAGUACAAGAAGAAGAACAAAGAGCAAGAUUUCUCAAGUGAUGAUGAGAAAAAUGACAAGAAGCAAUACAAGAAGAAAGGUGGCAAGAAGAAGGAGCACUACAAGAAGAAGAAUGGCAAGGCUUAUAUUGUUGGUGAUUGGCUCACCGACAUUGAAAGCUCAAGUGGUGACUCCUCCGGCAAUGAAAGUGAUGAUGAGAAGGUUGCCACCAUCGCCAUCGAUGCUCCAUCACCAUCAUCUUCACCACCAUCUACAUCCUCUACACACCUAUGCCUUAUGGCCAAAGGUGACCGGAAGGUACAAAGUGAGGAUGAGAGUAGUGAAAGUGAUAGUGAAUAUGAAUCACCCUCUUAUGAUGAACUUGUAAAAUUGCUAAACAAAUACACAAAAGUCAUAAGAAAGACUAGAAGUGAAAAUGAAAAGCUUGAACUUGAAAAUGAUACACUUCUAGCAAAGCUUAACUCUAGUGAUGAGCUUAGAGAACAAAAUGACAAGAAGCAAUACAAGAAGAAAGGUGGCAAGAAGAAGGAGCACUACAAGAAGAAGAAUGGCAAGGCUUAUAUUGUUGGUGAUUGGCUCACCGACAUUGAAAGCUCAAGUGGUGACUCCUCCGGCAAUGAAAGUGAUGAUGAGAAGGUUGCCACCAUCGCCAUCGAUGCUCCAUCACCAUCAUCUUCACCACCAUCUACAUCCUCUACACACCUAUGCCUUAUGGCCAAAGGUGACCGGAAGGUACAAAGUGAGGAUGAGAGUAGUGAAAGUGAUAGUGAAUAUGAAUCACCCUCUUAUGAUGAACUUGUAAAAUUGCUAAACAAAUACACAAAAGUCAUAAGAAAGACUAGAAGUGAAAAUGAAAAGCUUGAACUUGAAAAUGAUACACUUCUAGCAAAGCUUAACUCUAGUGAUGAGCUUAGAGAACAAAAUGAGAUCAUGACCACUAAGCUCAAGGAGCUCAAACUCUCUCUAAAAGAGCUCAAAGAAAAACAUGAUAAACUUGAGAGUGUUCAUGAUGAGCUUAUCACUAGAUAUAGAGCAAUGAAAGAAGAACUAACAACUCUAAAAGCAAACUAUGACAACCUUGAGAUUGCUUAUGAACUUGCAAUUGAUGAAACACAUGUUGCUACUAACAAUGUUGCUAAGCUUGAUGUAGCCACAUCUUGUGAUGACUUACUUGUGGAGAGCACAAGCAAAUGUGUUGAUUGCAAGGGCAAAAAAGUGGUAGUGGUCGAGAGUUAUGAGGACACUAUCAAGCUCAAGAAUGAAAUUGUCAUGCUCAAGAAAGAGUUGCAAGAACAAGCCAUGCACAAGACCAAUGUGAUUGAGUCACUUGAUCAAGACAAGAAGCUUGCAUAUGAGAACAAGUUGCUCAAGGAAGAAAAUCAAUAUCUCAAGCUUGGUUUGAUGUAUGUCAAGCAAGAAGAAGAUGAGACAUUCAUCUUGGAUGAGUUAGCUAGCAACAAUGACCCAAUCAUCAAGAAGCUAACUCAAGAGAACAACAAGCUCAAGAAAGAGAAGGAACACCUAACCAUGGGGUUAGCAAAGUUCACAAAGGGGAAGGACCUUCAAAGUGAGCUUUUUAUGAACACCGUCAUGAAGAUGGACAAGAGUGGAAUUGGCUACAAGGCUCAUCAAACAAAGCUCAUCAAGUCUCUAGCCACUCAUGAUCAAGCAAGCAAGCCAAAGCCAAAAAGAUGUUUUGAGUGUGGUCAAGAAGGACACUUUGCUCAUGACUGUAAGGCACCACUACCACCACCCUUGCCCAAGCAUGCAAGACCAUUUGCCUUCAAUGCUCAUUACAUUGUAAGGAAAGACAAGUGUGGCAAGGUCAAGGUUAGCUUCAUGGGGCCACCAAACAAGCAAAGGCCAAAGAAGAUUUGGGUGCCAAAGCAACUAGUUGAGAAGGUCAAGGGCCCUAAGCAAAUGUGGGUCCCUAAAUCUCAAGCUUGAUCUCUUGUGUGUAGGUGAACUACAAGACCGGUGGAUCACAUUGGGUAAUUGAUAGUGGUUGCACUCAACAUAUGACCGGAGAUCCCCGGAUGUUCACCUCUCUUGAUGAAGAUGUUGACAACCAAGAGAAGAUCACAUUUGGUGACAAUUCAAAAGGCAAGGUCAAAGGAUUAGGAAAGGUUGCUAUAUCAAAUGACAACUCCAUCACCAAUGUGCUCUAUGUGCAAUCCUUGAGUUUCAAUUUGCUCUCGGUUGGACAACUUUGUGAUCUUGGAUUUGAAUGCCUAUUCAAGAAGAAGGAAGUAAUUGUGACCAAGGAAGAUGACAAUGAAGUAAUUUUCAAAGGGUUCCGGCACAACAACUUGUAUGUGGUUGAUUUCUCAUCCGAUGAAGUUGAUGUCAAGACUUGCUUAUUCACCAAGACUUCACUUGGGUGGUUGUGGCAUAGAAGGCUAGCACAUGUUGGAAUGAGCACGCUCAAGAAGAUGAUGAAGAAAGAAUUGAUUAGAGGCUUGAAGGAUGUGACAUUUGAAAAGGACAAGCUUUGUAGUGCAUGUCAAGCGGGCAAACAAGUUGCAAACACUCAUCCAACCAAAGCCUAUCUCUCUACUUCAAGAGUGCUUGAGCUACUUCACAUGGAUUUGUUUGGACCAACCACAUAUGCUAGUCUUGGAGGCAACAAAUAUUGCUUGGUCAUAGUUGAUGAUUUCUCCCGGUACACUUGGACAUUCUUCUUGCAAGACAAGGCCAAAGUUGCAUCAAUAUUCAAGAAAUUUGCAAAGAAUGCAAAAAAUCAAUUUGAUGUGAAGAUCAAGAAAAUUAGAAGUGACAAUGGCAAAGAGUUUGACAACACCAACAUUGAAGAGUAUUUUGAUGAAGUGGGAAUCAAGCAUGAGUACUCCUCAACAUACACACCACAACAAAAUGGGGUUGUAGAAAGAAAGAACCGGACAUUGAUCACCUUGGCAAGAACAAUGCUAGAUGAGUACAACACUUCGAAGAAGAUGUGGGCUGAGGCAAUCAACACGGCAUGCUAUGCUUCAAACCGGAUCUUUCCACACAAGUUCCUAAAGAAGACACCAUAUGAGUUGCUCAAUGGGAAGAAGCCCGAUGUCUCAUUCUUUAGAGUGUUUGGGUGCAAGUGCUACAUCUACAAGAAGCGCCAACACUUGGGAAAGUUCCAAAGAAGAUGUGACAUUGGCUACUUGGUUGGCUAUUCAUCAAAGUCCAAGGCAUAUAGGGUCUUUAACCAUGCCACAAACAUGGUUGAAGAAACAUUUGAUGUUGAAUUUGAUGAAACUAAUGGCUCCCAAGGAGCAAGUGAUAAUCUUGAUGAUGUAGGUGGUGAACCGUUGAGGGAUGCCAUGAAGAACAUGCCCGUGGGAGACAUCAAGCCUAAAGAAGAUGAUGAUGAUGUGCAAGUCAUUGAGCCACCAUCCACCUCACAAGGUCCACAAGAUGAAGACAAGGAUGUGAGAGAUGCCCAUGAAGACACUCAAGUCACUCAUGAGCAAGCGGUGGCACAAGCACAAGAUGUUGAUGCUCCCCAACCAACCCCUCAAGUGGCACCAAGAAGAACAUCACAUCUCCUCCAAGAUCACUCUCAAGAUCUCAUCAUCGGGAGUCCAUCACGUGGUGUAACUACUCGUUCUAGACAUGCUUUAUUUAUUGAACAUCACGCUUUUGUGUCUCUUGAAGAUGAACCAAAGACUAUAGAGGAAGCUCUUCGUGAUGCGGAUUGGAUCAUAGCCAUGCAAGAGGAGUUGAACAACUUCUCUCGCAACCAAGUAUGGACAAUUGAAGAGCGACCCAAAGAUGCAAGAGUGAUUGGAACAAAGUGGGUCUUCCGGAACAAGAAGGAUGAUCAAGGCAAAGUGGUGCGCAACAAGGCAAGACUUGUGGCAAAAGGCUUUUCACAAGUGGAAGGUCUUGACUUCGGUGAAACCUUUGCACCGGUGGCAAGACUUGAAGCAAUUCGUAUCCUACUUGCAUAUGCAUCUAGUCAUAACAUCAAGUUAUUUCAAAUGGAUGUGAAAAGUGCCUUUUUAAAUGGUUAUAUUAAUAAGCUUGUCUAUGUUGAGCAACUCCCCGGUUUUGAAGACCCUAGGUACCCCAAGCAUGUCUACCGGCUGUCCAAGGCUCUCUAUGGACUCAAGCAAGCCCCUAGAGCUUGGUAUGAGAGGCUUAGGGACUUCCUCAUUGAGAAGGGCUUCAAGAUUGGGAAAGUUGACACAACACUCUUCACCAAGAAAAUGAAUGGGGAAAUCUUCAUUUGUCAAGUUUAUGUUGAUGAUAUUAUUUUUGGCUCUACUAAUGAAGAUUUUUGCAAGGAAUUUGGUGAUUUGAUGUCCAAGGAGUUUGAGAUGUCCAUGAUUGGCGAGCUAUCCUUCUUCCUAGGAUUUCAAGUCAAGCAAAUGAAGGAAGGAGUCUUUAUCUCCCAAGAGAAGUACACUCAAGAUCUUCUCAAGAGGUUCAAGAUGAUGGAUUGCAAGCCAAUCAAGACUCCCAUGGCGUCAAAUGGGCAUCUCGACUUGGAUGAGGGAGGUAACCCUAUUGACAAGACUCUCUAUCGCUCCAUGAUAGGAAGUCUACUCUACCUCACCGCAUCUAGGCCCGAUAUAAUGUUUAGUGUGUGUAUGUGUGCAAGAUAUCAAGCAAUGCCUAUGGAAUCUCACUUGAUUGCGGUCAAGAGAAUUCUUAGGUAUCUAAAAUACACACCUUGCCUAGGCUUAUGGUAUCCCAAAGGUGCAAGAUUCCAACUUGUAGGCUAUUCCGAUUCGGAUUAUGCCGGGUGCCGGAUUGAUAGAAAAAGCACAUCCGGAGGGUGCCAUUUCCUAGGUAGAUCACUUGUCUCUUGGAUGUCAAAGAAACAAAAUAGUGUUGCUUUGUCAACGGCCGAGGCAGAAUACAUAGUCGUCGGUGCUUGUUGUGCACAAAUACUCUACAUGAAACAAACUUUGCUAGACAUGGAGUAGUACUAGACAAAGUACCUUUGUUGUGUGACAACGAAAGUGCCGUAAAACUUGCAAACAACCCGGUUCAACACACCCGCACAAAACAUAUUGACAUCCGCCACCACUUUCUUAGGGAUCACGUUGCUAAAGGUGACAUAUCCCUAGAGAAUGUGGGAACGGAAAAUCAAUUGGCGGAUAUCUUCACAAAACCCCUAGAUGAAGCUAGGUUUUGUAUGUUGAGAAAUGAACUUAAUGUGCUUGACCUAUCCAACUUCACUAAAAGAUAAAAGUUGUGUGUUGAAUCUUGUAAUUAAACUUUUGCUUUGCAUAUCAUGCAUACUAAAACUAAAAAUACAACUUGCAUGUAGAGCUUGUCUAACAUGGUUAAGAUAACCCCCUUGAGUGUGUGAAAAAGCUUAACCUUGGAUCAAACUUGACAAGCAUUAGUUUACUUUCAAGUAUUGCAUUACAACUCAUUUCAUAUGCAUGCUUGUUAGUUGACCAUUUCUUUUCGGUUAUUCGUUGAGCAUCCGCUGUGUUCGUCCAUAGAUAGGGGGAGCAUUCAAAGCUCAUUGUGAUUCCAACCCCUAGCUUUAUGGCCAUACGAUGCUCCUUGAUGUUUUUUCUCGAUCUAUUUUCAUAAAAAUCUACUAAGCCUAUAGCUAAAUAUUUUGUGAAAAUUUGAGGGUUUGAGAGAAGUCACUCAUACCAGUUCCAUUUGGUGUUUAGUUGUGUGCUUUUGGAAAUGGAACUUGGUUGGGUCAAAGUCGGACAAGGUGCUUAGUUGAAAAAGUGCUCAGAGGAGCACCGGACGAUGCACCGGACGCUGCCCCUGUGCGUCCGGUGCGGUGAGUGUGCCAGACUGCACUCACCGGACGCAGGAACAGUGUCCCUGCAGCGUCCGGUGAGGUGCGUCCGGUGCUCACCUGGUGUGACCUGAAGCACCGGACGCUAAAGCCAGCGUCCGGUGCCCAUCGUCCGGUGCAAUGCCAAUUUGCAGACCUCUCUGCGCAUGAGUCCGGUGGUCACCGGACGCGUCCGGUGCCACAUUAAGAGCGUCCGGUGACCCCGCGGCGGGCGGAUAUAGCCCGCGCCCAGGGGCUCUCCGCGGCAGUUUUUUCUCUUCUUCCUCGUCGCGCCCGUGCCCUAAGCCGCCGUAAUCCGCCGCUGCCUUCGAAGCUCAUCGAAUCCGCGGCGCCCUCGGCUUUCCUCCUCGCGACAGAUCUGCUCCAAGGCUCUCUCUUUCCCCCCCUUCUUGCCAGAACUCUCUCCUCUGCGAAGGGUUAGGGUUUGGGUAAGAUCCUUUGAAAGCCCUAGUUUGGUUUUGGAUAAUUGAUGAAACCCUAGUACUAACCUCUAUACUAAGUGUGUGUAGACUUAAUGAGGUUGGUAUAUGCCAAGUGAUGGAGCAAGUGAUGAUCGUGGUGAUGAUGGUGAUGACCACAAGAUGAUCAAGUGCUCAACUUGGAAAAGAAGAAAGAGAAAAACAAAACCCUAUGGAGAUCAAGGCAAAGGUAUUGCUUAGGGUUUUGGUUUUGGUGAUCAAGACACCAUAGAGGGUGUGAUCACAUUUAGGAUAGAUAGCCAUACUAUAAAGAGGGGAAUUCUUUGGCUAAGCGGUUAUCAAGUGCCACUAGGUGUCAUUGUUCAUGUGCAUGCAUUUAGAACCUAGUGAGCUAACUUAACUCCUUCAAAGAAAAUGAUUGUGAAAAUGCUAACACACGUGCACAUGUUGGUUCACACGUUGUGGUGUUGGCACACUUUGAGAAGGGAGUUGAAGUUUGAAGGGUAGAGAGAGGAUGGGUUCCUCUCUCCCUCCCGCCGAGCUUGCGAGGCGGGAUUCGGCGCUUUUCGAGAAAAUGAAGCGCAUAUUUUCUAUUGCACCGGUGGGAAAUUUUGGAGGAGUCACGGGAGUGUUCCUCGCAGAGAAACACUCACCGGACGCUGGCCACUGAGGCACCGGACGCUAAGUCUGAGCGUCCGGUGCAGACAGUGCAUGGCCCAGUUAGGGUAAGGCACCGGACGAUAGGCACCGGACGCUGGCUUGAGCGUCCGGUGUGCGGGCGUUUUGCGACCCUCUCUGCGCAUGGGUCCGGUGAGCACCGGACGCUGAGGGUGCGUCCGGUGGCUUGCGUCCGGUGACCCUACGAGUUUGCGGAACUCUCUGCGCAUGAGUCCGGUGUGCACCGGACGCGUCCGGUGCUAACUUGCUCAGCGUCCGGUGCUCUGCAGGUUACCGUUAGACUCUGACACGCGGCUGACGUUAGAGCACCGGACGCUGGUGUUGAGCGUCCGGUGCCCCUUUAACAGCGUCCGGUGACCCCGCAGUUUGCCCAGUGAAAGAGCCAACGGCUCUAUUUGUUUGAGGGGUCUAUAAAUAUGUGUUUGGCCGGCUUGGGGCUAAUUCUCUUGGCAUUCUAACAUACUUGACAUCCUUGUGAGCCUAAGCAAACACCUCCCACUCAUCUCCUUCAUAGAUUAAACAUCUUUGUGAGAUUGGGAGUGAUUCCAAGUGCAUUUGCUUGAGUGAUCGCAUCUAGUGGCACUUGGGGAUCGUUCUAGCUGUGGCUUUCUUGUUACUCUUGGUGGUUGCCGCCACCUAGACGGCUUGGAGCAGCGGAGGAGGAUUGGCACGAGUUGGUGAUUGUUCGUGGCCAUCUCUCGGUGAUUGUGAGGGGUCAUGUACCUUCCCCGGCGGAGAGCCGAAAGGUAACUCUAGUGGAUUGCUCGUGUCAUUGAGCUACCUCACUUGUGGGUAGGUUCUUGUGGUGUCCUAGUGAGGACGAGGUUCGUGCUACACCUCUUAGCCACCGAACCACCAAGUGUUGGUCGACACAACGGGGACGUAGCGUGCCGGCAAGCACGUGAACCUCGGGAGAAAAUUGUGUGUCUCCUUUGUGAUUAUUCAUUGGAUUUCUCCCGGUGAUUGGACUUCAUAUUAUUGAUUGGUUCAUCCCCUCUACGCGGCGGUAUAAAGAUCAAACCAUCUCUUUUUACAUUCCCGCAAACUAGAGUAUCUUUCUUACUUGCAUAGAAACUUUAGGUAGCUCUCUAGUGUAAGUAGUAACAUAGCUCUUGUGUGCCUAGAGAUUAUAUCAACUAGAAUUGUUAGAUAGGUGGCUUGCAAACACCCCUUUAGAGCUAGAGCAAAAAGCUUCGCUUUGUUAUUUACUAACUCCUUGCUCUAGUGAGUUUGUAGAAUUUUUAAAUAGGCUAUUCACCCCCCCCUCUAGCCAUAUUAGGACCUUUCAUCCUUGGACUUUGCCCUCAAGGUAUUUGAUCGUAUGUGUCAACGGCAUUCGAUUUAGUUUUUGAUUUCUAUCUCGAUUGCCUUCUCGUUGCAGCAUCUUGAGGAAAAGAUUUGCAUUCUUCGGUGGUUAUCGAUUGAAAGGUUUCGUCCGGAACGCAUCUCGUCCGUGGAUCGUAAGCUUUUCGCGUCCAUAUCUUAUCUAUCCUUGCGAUCUAUAGGUUUGUCUCAUCUCUAGUCGAUAUAUUUUCUUAUAUAUAUCCUAUCUUGUCAAUUUCCUGCAGCGCGCUAAUCUCCAUUGUCAGUCGGUUGUCUGUCGGACGCUUGUUUGGCAAUGGCUCGUACCAAGAACGUCAGUGGUCCGACAGCUGGCUCAGGAGGUUCCCCAGGAGGCGAUGGUGGAGGUGAUCCUCCUCGUCGCCUAUCAGCAGCAGAGAAAGGCAAGGGAAAGAAGCUGGCCACCAAGAAGCGCAAGGCCAGUGACAGAGAUGCAGAGGUCGCAGAGGCAGUGGCAGCAGCAGCAGAAGCCGCAGAGAGAGGUGGUCGAGCAGGUGCUUUGAGGAUUGGAGAUGAUCUUACGCCGCGACAGAGGCGUGCAGUGCUUGAGGCAGAGGCAUUCCACGGAUCCCCUCCAGGCACUGUAACGAUUGGAGGACAGAGGGUUAGGCUUGUGGUCAGGGAUCCAGCUCAGGAGGAUCCGGACACUGAGACAGAGACCCAGGCAGAGGGUCCAGCAAAGGGACAGGAGCAGGAGCAGUCACUGCGGAGGUCGACUCGUGCUCAUACUCGGGCCCCUCCCUGGACUGGUUCGUAGGGACAGUCUACCUCCACAGCUCGUGCCACUUCGGCGAGAGGCACUCCAGCUUCCCGCCAGAGGCCAGUCAGGAUCCACAGGGAUCUCACUCUUGUGUCAGCACGAGAGAUCCAGCAGCUGCGAUUUGUUCCGUUUCCGACUUGGUUUCCAGCUGCCAGGGAUCCCAGAGCCGGUGCCCGUUUCUACACCGUCGUCCAGGAGGACAUUCACAAGACAUUGGUUCGCUCUCAGUCUCAGUUCAGGGAGCACAGGGUGAUUGACCUAGAGAUUCUCGGGAACGUGGUCGGGGCAGAUAUUCGUCAGUAUUUCACUUACCUCCACGGACUCCCAGAGCUGCUAGCGCUCUCCGGUACUUAUUGUGAGCAGUGGGUCAGAGAGUUCUAUGCGUCAGUUUGGAUUUCUCCAGAUCACAGCUAUAUCCACUACGCACUGGCAGGGACUGACUACAGAGUGACAGCACAGUUGGCCAGACAGGUGCUUGGACUGCGAGCCUCUCCCACCAGGAUUCACCAGCUGUGCUACGGGAACGUGGAUCCCCCUCGUCGUCCUCAUGGUGGUGAGAUACCACCGGUCGACUUCGUGGCUCCAUGCUUCCGUGCACCUUUUGGGGAGGGCUCCAGCAGGACAGUGGGAGACUUGACACGCCCAGCCAGGAUCCUUGACUUCGUGUUGAGGAAGACUCUUCUCCCCAGGACAGGCUACAGAGACGGUUUCACUCGCAUCCAGCAGUGGUUAGUUGCUCACCUCAUCUCCCAGACAGAGUUUGACUUGUGGGAUCUGAUUGUCUCAGAGAUAGAGGACACCAUCUCAGAGAGCUUCAGGGGCCAGCGUCAGUUGCCCUACGCACAUUGGAUCACCCUGCUUAUACUUCGUGCUAGGCCACUGCCCCUACCAGCUCACUUGCACAGGGAGUUGACAGAGUCCGACACCGUCUUCCCCCACUACGACCCUCGGCAGAUGUUGAGAGCGCACCACGACCUCAGAGGUGCCCCUCCUCCUCGUGCUCCACGUGGACCGGUGCCCCCGCCUUCUCCUAGGGGCACCCACAGUACAGCAGCGGUUGCAGAGACAGAGGAGCAGCAGGACAUAGCUAUUGGCGCAUUUGCAGAUGCAGAGGCAGAGGGCGAGUUCGACUUCGCCUCAGACAGCUCAGAUGAUGACUAUCAGCCGCCAGUGACUAACCUUCCUCCCAGAGCUCACGACCACGAGGCAGGCGGUUCUUCGAGUGCUUCAGACCCCACCUUGCUUGCUAUUCUAGAGGGGAUGAGGGCAGAUCAGCGCCAUGCAGCUGAGGAGCAGGCAAGGCGCGACAGGGAUCAGGCUGCCAUCAAUGCAGCCAUGCAGGCCAGGCAGGAUGAGCUCCAGCGUCAGCUUCUCACCUUUCAGGAGCAGCAGCUUGCUUUCCAGGCCCAGCAGACAGCGAUGAUGGCCGCUCUCAUGGCCGCCUCCGGGAUUCAGCUACCGCAGAUUCAGCUCCCAGGCACGUCGUCCGUCAAGCCACCUACUCCUGCGCCCCAGACUCAGAGUCCGUCACAGCAGCCGCUCCAGCUACCCGCUCAGAGUCAGCCGUUUUCGACGCCUCAGCACCAGGUCUCUCAGGGUGCUAUCUCUUCAGGCUUUGAGCAGGUACCGCAGUUUACCCCUCUUCGCUCCAGAUUUACCCCUCAGUCAGCUUCAGCAUCACAGCUUGUGUGGGACUCACAGACAGAUCCGCACCUCAGCUUCACCUACAGUGCUCUGACUGGUGACCCUACGCCUCCUCCUCUGCAGGCUCCUGCAGUCUUUAUGGCGCCAGUUACCACUACAGAGCUUCUGUCGUCGUCAGUAGCGUCGUCCGAGCAGCUUGCAUCGUCUACUACAGUACCAGAGACGACAGCCACAGCGACCGAGUCCGUGCCAGCUUCGUCAGCCGGACUUGAGAAGCCAGCACAGCCUGUGACAGCACCAGAGCAGACCUGGACCGCUUCUCCAGCACCUGCAGCUUCAGAGGGUCACUCCACCUCCUCCGCCUCGACGGCCGACAGUUUAGAUGAUGCAGCUCGCUUCGUAGCCGUGCCGAGGGACUCUACUGCUCCGCCUCCUCCACCGACUUCUUAGGUUUUUGGCGCUUGAUGCCAAAGGGGGAGAGAGUGCAUAUGAGAGAGUUAGGAGUUAGGGGGAGCUAGAGAGGGUAUUUAGGAGUUUAUUCUUUUGAGACACCUUUAUGUGUGCUACUCUAUCAUGCAUCACGUUUAUUUUUAUGCAUUGCACUUGUGUGAGAUACUAUGGUUAUGAGACAUGAUUUGUGCCUUAUGUGUUAUCUUAAUGUCAUGUGUUUGGCUCAUAUUUUCUUUGCUUCCGCGUUUCUACUCCGAUGUAAUUAUGAGCCCUAUGUUUAUAUCCUAUCGUAUAUCACUCACAUAUUUGGAUGCAGGGUAUUGGAUUUGGUUGAUAUAAGCAUCACUAAUUCUUUUGUUCUUAUUGUAUCAUGCUUAUUGAAACCAAGUCUCUUUAAAAACCUCAACUCUUUUCAUACUCGAGGUUGUCAUCAAUCACCAAAAAGGGGGAGAUUGAAAGAGCAUCUAGGCCCCUAGUGGUUUCGAUGAUUAAUGACAUUGUUGAUUACUAUGACUAACGUGUGUUUUGCAGAGGCAAAGUCAUAGGUAAGGUCAUGGUAAAUAGGUACUCGAUGAACAGGGACGUACAUGCCUACUUAAUAGUGGAAAUUGUUUUUGGUUUUCAAAGGACGGAUGGACAUCGUCAAGACUAGACUAGGUCUAGUGCCAUAUGGUGAAGAAGGGCACUUAGAGUAGUUCAGGACUUUGUUCUUCUUUGACCGUACUAUUAAGAGGGGCUUUGAUCUAGUAGCUUGACUUAGGCAAGGCUUUAGGUUUAGGUGUGGUGCACACUUGGUAAACCUAGCACUAGGCAGCUCAGAGAUAGUCCUUAGAUCGAGAGGAACCAACUUCGUUUUGGAGCGAUCGCGUUUCGACGAAGUUUGGGUGCCCAAAGGGGCACCGGACGCUGCACCGGACGCUCUGUGAGUGCGUCCGGUGAGGUCCUUAGCCGUUAGAACAGUGCCGUGCUUAGGGUUAGGCACCGGACGCUAGCACCGGACGCACCGAGUAGCGUCCGGUCCCUUACCCAGGAAGGUUGCAAGCCUUCCCUAAGCACCGGACGCUAGCACCGGACGCGCCGGGUAGCGUCAGGUCCCAUGCGCAGGGAGCAUGUAAAGUUUUCCCGAGCACCGAACGGUGCACCGGACGCUGAGAGUUAGCGUCCGGUGACCUGUUAGAGAAAAGUGUAGGUAGCCGUUAUGUCACACCGGACGCGCGGUGCAAUGCGUCCGGUGCAACAUAAUGUGCGUCCGGUGACCCCGUUUUCAGUGGAAAACGGUUGGCCGACCUUUGGACUUUGUGGAUAGUAUUUAUACUCCUCCACCUCGUCCAUAAGACCUCUCUUGCCCAUUUGAACAUCAGAGAAACUUGUUGUGGAGCAAGAGAGUUGCAAGAGCCUAGAGAGGAUUGAGUUUUGAGUGAAUUCUUGAGAGAAUCCUCCUCUAGUGAGUUCCAAGAGUCAAGUGUGCAUCCACCACUCUCUAGUGCCUUGUUUGGGUCAAGUGAGAGUUCUUUGCUUGUUACUCUUAGUGAUCGCCAUCACCUAGACGGUUCGGUGGUGAUUGGAGGCACGAAGAUCACCCGAAGUUCUUGUGGGUGGCUCGUGUCAAGCUUGUGAGCGGUUUUGGGCGAUUCACCGCGACGGAGUGUCGAAGAAUCAGCCCGUAGAGAGCACUUGGUCCUUGCGCGGACCAAGGGGGAGCAAGACCCUUGCGCGGGUGCUCCAACGAGGACUAGUGGAGAGUGGCGACUCUCCGAUACCUCGGCAAAACAUCGCCGAGCACUUUCUUUCACUACUCCUUUACUUUCUAGCAUUUACUUUGUGCUUUUACAUUCUUAGAAUUACCAUGCUAGAAUAGGAUUGGAACUAGGUUGCAAAACUUUUAUCCGGUAGCUUUCUAGGACACUCUAGGCACAAGGGGUGGAAUUGGAGCUUAUAGGUUGCUUAAAUUUUAAGAGAAGCCCAAUUCACCCCCCCCUCUUGGGCAUCUUGAUCCUUUCAGGGGUGUUUGCGGAAAGACUUGCUGCCCAAGCCAUCCACUAUUAGCAUUCAUCGGUAUAGGCCCUGCCGAUGACUGGUAAUUGGGCAUUAUCAUUGAAUUGACAUACCCUGACUGAGCCAUAGACCUCUGUUGCAUCAGCAUUGAGUCUGCCGAUGCGUUAGGCAUCUGGAACAUUGGAGCUUGAGAAUUCCCCGUGUAAGGUCUUGCAGUAGUAGUUGUAGUAUACUGGGGACUUUGAUUCAUCGGCAUAUUAGGAGGUGCCGAUGUCAUAGGAGUCUUGCCUCUCAUAUCAGUCGUCUGCGACGUACCUGGGGUUAGCUCUGGAGGCAUACCAUAACCCCACCAGUUAGGAGGAGGAGUCAAUCCUGACAUUGCCGAUGCCAACAGAUCUAUAGCGAGUUUAAUCUGCCCAUCUGAAGUCGGCGGAUUGGUUGUCAUCGGCGUAGAUUGUGCAUUGGUGACUCCCAACGUGCUCGGAGGAACGGCAGUCUGUGCUCCCAUAGCGGCUGUGGCAGCCGAUGGAGCUGUAACCACUGGUGACUCCGGCUGGUGAUAAGUGGGGCCCACAUAAUCUGGUGGCAACUGUCCUUCCUUGAAAGUUCUUGCCACGGUAUUGAAAACCAUAUUAGACAGCACACUAGCUUGAUUGAUCAAAGCACGGUUGAUAGCGCUGUCAACCAUCUCCUAAAGUUUGCCAGGAUUGGCUUCAAAAGUAACCUGUCGUGGUGCCGGCAGUGCAUCCUUCUGGAUCACUUCGCCGCUCCUGUUUAUGCUGAAGGACCUCAGGCAUUGCUGCUUGUAAUCCUCCAUGGCUUUAGCAAUAGCUUGCUUCUGCUCAUCCUUGAGAUUGGCUUCCGUCACGGGGAUGACGUUCUCUUGAUCUAACUCAGAAGUCGACAUGUUGAUCUUGAUCUUGAAUCAGUCCCACCGGGCGUGCCAAAAGAUGUGUUGGUGUAAAAGCUGAUCUGCAAACACAAAGGGCUAAUACCCGAUUCAAACGUUAAGGCGUGCCAGCCGAUUUGACCUUACUAUCGACAAAGGUGGUAACUCGAACACUUUGGUCCCGACAACAGCGAUGUGCCCGGAUGUCACGGCCAAGAGGUAUUCACGCGGAACUUGAGAACACGCCGAGCUUAAGUCGACGAAUUCCUAAGAACUCGUAAUAAAAAGGAAAAAGUAUGACGAAGUCGUUGAAAAAGUAGAUGCUGUAAUAUGAGUAAAAACUUGUGUUUGAUUGAUUGAUAGAUAUCUCAUUACAAGGCCCUAGGGUCUACAUUUAUACCCUGCUCAAAGAGCUACAACCAGACACGACUAGAACUCGAAUUCCAAAUUACACAGAACCCGUAUACAAAACGAUUUAAACAACUAAGGAAAACAUAAAGCUAUCCCCCCGUGACAAACUGGAACUCCUCCACAAACCGAUCGGCAACUUCCAGACUCUUCCCCCAUGUCAUCGGCAGACUCCCUUGUCGUAGCCAUCGGUACAGACACGUCGUCACCUGUGGACUUAGUCAUGUUCAACCAUCCUUCCAUCGGCAACUCUCCCUGUAGAUCAAGCACCACCAUCUCAUCUUGCCGAUCCACACUUUACCGAUCAUGGACACGUGCCCAAAAACGGUGUCAACACAACCAUUGAGAAAUAGUGAAAGACUUGUGAUAUUGUUUAUAAGCGUUUAUAACCUAGGGUACCUCCUAUCAGGGAUUGUACUGUUCAUGGAUCCGAUACUGUUGGCAAUUAAUGGGUGUGCACUGUUCACCGGGCCCGUUACUGUUAAACAUAACUUGUACACACUUUUUAUUGGAUCUGUUACUAUUUAGCAUAACAGACGUAUUGUUCAUUGGAACAUAAUGGGUAUGCUGUUCACUGGAGCCAUUAUUGUUCUACUUGACGGGUGCACUGUUCGCUAGAUCCGUUACUGUUAAUCUCUACAACUAAAAAGAGUCGGAAGUCAUCGUCAGCCCUCCCUGAUCGCCCCCCCUCGCGGUAAUCACCCCGCGCUAAUCGCCCCCCCUCUCGCGACCCAUCGCCCUCCCCCCACACGCAACCGUCGUCGUGGCCUCGUCUCUCCCGUGGUCAACCUGCGGUCAGAAUCUGUUCCUCCCACGCCGCAUCCCUCACCUCGCUGCGCCGCAUCCCUCACCUCGCUGUCCAUCCGCGCGAAGCUGCGCUCCAUCGCCGCGGUCCAGGAAGUCGCGCCACCCGCCGUGGGAGCCCUCCGCCAGCGCGAACGCCUCGCGCACGGACACGGCGUCUUCCAUCUCCCUCCUGCGGCCGGCCACCGACGCGGCGCCGUGCUUGCGCGCCACGAGCAGCUCCCCGGCCUCGAGGCUCCGCUUCCUGCACCGACGCCGCCCUGCUCCGUCCAGGCGCCUCCCCCACCGACUUCCAUCCAGGCGCUGCUCCGUCCUCCGCCUCCCCCACCGACGCCGCCCAGUCCCUGCAGUGCCUCUCCUUCCCUCCCACGACACCGCCAACUACAACGGCGAGGAUCGAGAUGGCAGCAGGGAUCCAUGCCGCGCAGUUCCCAGCGAAGCCCGACUCCCCGUACGGCACGGUGCAGCCGAGCACCGCCGGUGGCCGCGGCCGCAACUGCCCGCCCAGCGCCGCCCGCGCCUCGCCUCUACCGAGGUCACCACGCCGCUGCCACGUGCGACGAUGGCCGCCGCCCCGUUCCCCAUCAAGGUCGCGAGGCACGCAGAUCCGUGCUUCAUCCACGAAAUCUGGGCAGUACAUAUUUCUUUUUGCAUUUCAUUUGUUUCGAUCAUUUGCUUUAGAAGUCACCAAUUGAAUCUAGGCUAUCAAUUUUGAUGCACGUUAUAUGAUUGGAUGAGAUCUUGGCAAAAUUAUGCUCCAUUCCCGUACAUGAACUCAACUGAGACAGCCUAAGGUAAGGGAGUUGGAAGAAAGAAAGGGACUGUUGCAAAAAUAGGUUUCCAUUAUAUGAUUGAAGGGUUAACCAUUUGCAUUUAGUUUUUUUGGUUUUGUCAACCUGUGAGUUAGUAGAAAUUAUGGAAGGACCACUUUUGUAGUGUUAGAAGAGAAUUUCAGACAGCUACAUGCUUUAUUUACAUGCUGUGUUUGUUAUGUAAAGCUGUAAGAUUAGGUACUUUAUCAUAUAUAGAUUUUGCUCGUGUUAUGUAAAAAUGCAAAAUAAUAACAAUAAUAUUAUUGUGCUUUUUAGUUGUAGGAGAUUUUGUAUUAACUUUGUGAUGUGAAUAACCUUCUACAAAAAGGAAGGUUAUAAGGAUCAAUUGCUUAUUAACACGCCAUCACCACUGCUACUGGGAGAAGUUAGUAGGUAAGUCAUACAUGUUAGAAUUCUUCCACUAUGCAAGUUUCUCAUAUGUUUUAUCUACUGCCUUUGUGUGCUGAAAAAAUUAUCUCAGUUCUACAUUGCUGAUUUUUCAAUUUCGUAUAAGUAUGCAAAGAAUUGGAUGAACAAGAUUUGCAAUUAUUAAUCACAUAGGAUUAGAUAGCUUUUAGGAUGAUGAUGAACCAAAGCAAGUGGAAGAGCACUCAGAGGAGACAAUUUUGAUUUUACAUAGUGACGAGGAAGAGCCGAUGCAAGUGGAUCCACUUUGUUUAUUGUACCUUUGAGCAGUCUGCAGUACAAAAUCCACUUCUGCAGAAAUGUAUAUAUAUAUCUUUUUUAUUGCUGCAGAGGUGCAUGUACAAAUAUCAACAGUUGUAGUUUUUGUUAUUUGCAUUAUGCUAACUAAACCCCUGUGAAUUUCAUCCACUUCUCAGAUAACAAAUGAGCUUCUGUUGAAUUUUUUUCUCAAAGCAUAUGGGUUCUUGGAGUGUGCUAUCCAGCAUGGUAUUCCUAGGAUAUUUCCAGAAAAUAGGUGAGUACAGGACUGCAGGUACCAUGUUAAUCCAUGUGAAUGGUUUAUACAGGAUGCUUAUUAACUUGCUUGUGACAUGGGUAUAUUUCCUAGCUCAUAGACUGCAACAGGUCAAUUGCCAUCUCAGCGGCAUAAUUAAACAUAACACUUAACAUUAUUCAAGCUUAGCACCUAGACUGCAAUUUUGGAACUGACCCCCCCCCCCCCCCCCCCAAAUUAUUCAAAUAUAUAAUGAGAGUUUGUCCAAUUCUUUUAAUAUAGUGGCAUGUUUCUCGGCCUCAAUGGGGAAAAUGGUAUGCUUUACUGUUAUAGUUACAUUCAAACUGUCCUUGCUAAAUCAGCUUAUAUCUAUGCACGUCUUCAUAGAACCUGUGAGCUUUUGUCUGAUUCUACUCUGCAAUUAUAUAUAUAAAAGCCAGAUUGAUAUUGUUUUAUUUUCUAUGAUUUGAUAAUGUAGAGAUCAUAAAAAGCAUAGAUAAAAAGCAGCUUGAACUCGUGCUAGAUUUUUCAGCGAUGAUGAUGAUGCUAACCUGAUUUUCAGUAGUACAGAGGGGUACAUAACCUUAUUAGUUAGUGCCUGCAACGUUGUAGUAUUAUUCUGCUACUUUUUAGGAUUAGUUUGUUGAGUACAAAGUGUAUGAGUCUUUGAUCGCUAAGAUAUGUGGAAACCCAUUGUGAACCUUUCUUUCAAUGUUUAUGCAUGGAAAAUAUUUGGCUCAUGGAAUCCUAUGUUUCUGUAUUGGCGUUUUUUUCUCUAUAUGUGAAUACAUAUCACUUAUUGAUUCUAUUAAGACAGUAUCAGUCAACAUAAUACAAGUUCUCUCGUAUAUCUUUAACAAUACAUGCCUAUUUAAUAUUCAUUCCAAGUGAUGGUUCUGUUAUCAUUGCCAAUUUCUCCAUCCCUUUUUAUCUGCUUAAAUUUACUGGAGUACCCUAAGUACGCUUGAUCCAAGUACAUGCAGCACCCUAAGGAUUUAUCUCCUCGAUUCCCUAACAAGAUGAGAGGUCAGUUGGCUAUAGUUUUUAUAUUAAUUUUUGUUUGCUCUGCUUAUUAAGUUUUGGAUUCAACUAUAUUUGCAUUCCAGCCACAGACAUGAGUGGAUAUUAAACCAAAUAAAAUUAAGCUGAGGUCAAGCAGGUAUACUUGCAAUACUAUGCUUGACACUAACAGCUGCAAUAGUGCAGGUAUUGGAGCAAUACUACUGUUUUUUCCUGAUAAGAUUUAGCCUCAUGUUUUGUACUAAAAAGCAACAUGCUUAUAUUCUCAAAAGAAUUUAACCAAGAAACAGCCACACAGAUGGCUUGAACGACGCGAGUAUGCAGUAAAUCCACAUGGUUUAUUCAUUUUGUAGCUGAUUACAUUUUUUAUAAUUUUAAAAUUAUAUAUGACUUUUGUUCCUAAAUAAUUGCUCUUUCAGAAUGCAUCUAAUUUAAUAGUACUUGGUUAACUGCACUCUUGCUGAUUUAGUUAAUUCAUUUUGUACUUUUGUUUUUUUAGAUGCAGCACUAAUAUGGAAAUAGCAUCUGAAACCGUGAUGCCAUCUUCAAUGGUGAUUUGUGCCAUGGUUUCAAGACGCUGCACACCUCCUAAUCCAAAGGUCCCGGCUUGAUCUUGGCAACCUUGGCAAUUUGGUUCUUCCUCCAUGUGCACUCCACUAUUUUUUCAAGAGUAAAAUCUCUUCCUAAUUACAUUUCAAGAUUAAUAUUAAGAUAUCGCUGAAAUACUAAAUUAUGGGUCACUAUAUAUUUGUCCUCUUAAGGUAAACCCUCUCUCUUCUUACAGUUAGAUCUUUUCUAUUGUAUAUUUGAUCUAAAUAUUAAAUCCAGAUUGGUUAGCAUGUUAGUGACCCGCGUUGGACCUUAUAAGGCACCAUUGAAAUUAUAGAAGUAUUUUAGUAUUGCUCGACAUUAAUUUUGUUAGUAUUUGUUAUAGAUCAUAUGUUUCCUUAGCAUUUGUAGAGGAAUUGGUUUUUGAUAAAAAGAGUAACAUAUAUGAUGCUUAUAGGUCAUUUUACAACUCUUCGAAUGAAUUUUAGCAUGUCUUGUUUCAAAUCUGUUGCACAAGCUCUCCCUACAUAUGUGAUGAUCGUGUUCAAACUUCCAUUGAACUUGUGCGAUGACCUGAUGAAGAGCAUUGUCUUUUGGUGGGGAGCUAAAAAUGGCAAGUGGGAGAUCCAGUCAAUACCAUGGGAACAAAUCAUACUUCCUAAGAGCUCUGGAGCUUUGGGUUUCAAGGAUUUAAGACUUUUCAAUAACGCUUUACUUGCUAGACAAGCACAGAGGCUGGUGGCCUUCCCAUAUAGUCUAUGUGCGUGUCUUUUGAAAGCUAAAUAUUUCUCUCAUGUAACUUGUUAAUGUUCCAGCAGCUGAAAGAUACCAAAUAUGGAGACGAAUUGGUUAUGGCUUGGAGAUAAACAUGGUGUGCUGUACAAAAUUGGUGACGUGAGAAGUACAAGGAUAUGGAGGGACAACUUGAUUCCUCAGGGAAAACUUGAGACCAAUAGGUAGUGCCUCUGUUUGUCGUCCUCGAUGGGUGCAUUGGUUAAAUGAUUCUUAAGGAGUGAUCGGAAGUGUUCCCAAGUAAAGAAAUCGUGCAAUUAAGUGCCAAAUACUUUAGUUUCUUUAGCUAGACGCUGUAAACAUUAUGUGACUUGGCAAGGACAAGUGUCUGCAACUCUGCAUGUGCUUCCUCCUUACAUCAUGCCGAUUGUAAUUCGUUGAUAGCUAGCUAAUAAAGCUUCUCUCUCUGCUUGAAAAAAACUCUUUGGAUGAAACUGUAGCUAGAAGAUUUGCGAUGUUACUGAAACUUGAAGAUCAAGCAUCAUGGUGAAAGACAACAUGAGUGCAUUGCAUGGCAUUAUGAGACUGUUGGAAGUUCAAUGUCUGUCGCUUCUUCCAUGCCCAAGAGACACUGCUAUCUCUUGAGUUUGACGCCUUGAUCACAACAAUUGAUAUUUUACAACAUAUGUUACCUGGUGAAUAUCUUUUCCCAUUGUAACACAUAGAAAUCAUGUUGCCUAUCGUUCACAUGCCCUUUCUAGAGGUGUGCGUGGUGACUGACCAUAUUACCUAAAGGUAUUUACAAUAGAGUUUGUGAGCUUGUGAUGUUGUGCUCUCCAUGAUUAUAUAAAUUUUAUGAAUUUUGUUUUUUAGAUUAAAUAUCACUUUAAUAUUAAUAUCUAAUUUUUAUAUUAUUAUUAUCUUAUCAUACGAUCCGUGUGUUUUAAAUAUAAAAUAUUAGUUAUCCCGUAGCAACGCACGGGCACACUACCUAGUGUAUAAUAAAAUAUGUUGUUAAUAUACAGUAAAAUGUGAGAAAGAUGGUAGUAUACGAUUAUAAGGGUAAGUGAAAAAUCACGCGUAAUGGAUUCUGAAAACAUCCCGCUAUGGAAUAUAGGUGGGCUAGGCUAAACUCCUCUCCACAUUAUAUCAUGAUGUAUAGUGCAUGAACCGGAGGCCGUCGAGCGGAUCUAUCUUUUGAAUGGUAAUUUAAAUAGAGUACAAGAAUAUUUCAAAAGUACCUUAAAAUAGUCUUUAAAUGGUUUUCAAAGUAUUGUUUAAAAAGGGUUUUACAAAUGUGUUUGAAAAUCAAGUAUUUCAAUUUUAUUCUCAUAGUUCGUAUUUUCAAAGUUCAAAAUGUUUAACAGAUCACAUAAUUUGAAUCUAGUUUAAAAUUGUGUUUGAAGAAUUAUAAAAUCCUCCUUUUUAUCGGUGACAGAUUUCAUUCCAGAACUCAUCUUCUAUUAUUUUUUUUUGUUCUUUACUUUUAUAUAUAACUAGCCAAUUGCACGGGUAGCAACCAUUGAGAAAUAGUGAGAGACUUAUGGUAUUGUUUAUAAGCAUUUACGGAACGAGAUCCUCUGCUGUGAGGGGCAGCGACUGCUUCCUGCAGUCAGGGGUAUCUCACCGUUCACUAAAAUCGAACGGCAACUGAUUCCCAACGCUCUGUUUAUAUCUAGCAUUGUUUAGUUUACUUUAAAAUCUUAAAUUUUUAAGAUUUCUCGUUAUAUCCAAUCUGUAGACACAUGCAAGAAAUACUAAAUAUAGACGAAAUAAAAAUUAAUUGUACAAUUUAACUAUAAUUUACUAGACGAAUCUUUUAGACCUAGUUAGUUUAUGAUUAGACAAUAAUUAUCAAAUACAAACGAAAAUGCUGCAGUAGUCAAAGCCAAAAAGACUAAAAAAGGCCCGAGUCUUCUGAGCGCCGCUGAGCCUUGGCCAACUAACACAACAUUGUUGCUGGCGUUUUUGGCGCAAGGUAGGCAUGCUCUUUAGGCCUUGUUUAGUUCCCGAGAAAUUUUGUAAAAUUUUUCAGUUUGUCUAUCACAUCGAAUCUUACAGCAUAGAAAUGAAGCAUUAAAUAUAGAUUAAAAAAUAACUAAUUAUACAGUUUGUCUAAUUUGCUAGAUGAAUCUUUUGAGCCUCUGUUCGCUUGUCUUAUAAGCCAUACUUUUUUUUGUCAGUCGACAGUAUUUUUCUCUCACAAUAAAUUAGCAAACAUUACUUUCAGCCAUGACUUUUUAGAUAAGUCAUGAUUGGAUAAUAUUUGUCAAAAAUAAACGAAAGUGCUACAGUGUCCAAUCGUGCACUAACUUGUUCGCCGGUCUCAAAAGCCAUGGCUGAAAGUACUAUUCGCUGAUUUAUUGUGAGAAAAAACACUACUGGCUGAGAGAAAAAGUACGACUUAUAAGACAAGUGAACAGAGCUGACUCAAAAAAUUCGUCAAACAAAUUACAUACAAACUGUAUAAUUAGUUAUUUCUUUAAUCUAUAUUUAAUGUUUUAUUUAUGUGUUGUAAAAUUCGAUGUGAUAAAAAAUCUGAAAAAUUUUACAAAAUUUCUCAGAAACUCAACAAGGUGUCUGAGCAUGCGUACCUCGCGCUAAAAAUACCAGCAACAACAUUGCGUUGGUUGGCCAGGCCCAGCGGCACUCAGAAGACUCGGGUGCAAGCAUUUGGAGUUAGUUGCCGUUCGAUUUUAGUGAACGGUGGAUGCCAUGAACUGCAGGGAGCAGUCGCUGCCCCUGACUGCAGACGAUCUAGUUCCAGCAUUUACACCUAUCGAGGAUUGUAUUGUUCAUGGAUCCAAUACUGCUGGCAACCAACGGGUGUGCACUGUUCAUUGGGUCCGUUACUGUUAAACAUAACUGGUAUGAACUGUUUAUUAGAUCCGUACUAUUCAGCAUAAGCUAAGCCCAUCUCCUCUCUCUGUGUCGCCAACGGGUGGGCCCCGCACUCAGUUGUCUUGCACCUUCCGCCGCCGCUGGCCGGCACAUCCAGUUCCACCAUUGCUGUGCGGGCAAUUUAAAUAUUUGCCCUCCUUACGGAUGGCUCCUCCUCACUUGCCUCUCUUAUAAGUGCAAUUAAAGAUUUGCCCUGGGUAUCUCUUCAGUCAUAUAGAUUUACCCAUUUUAGUUAUGUGGCAGUCCAACUCAUCAUGCAAGCUUGGAUUGGCUAUGGAAAAAGACUGUAUUGCCCCUCCCUCUGUUUUUUUGCUCUACAAUGUGAAGAAAAAAAGGGGCCGACGAGUUGGGGAGGGGAGAGGGGUGUACUGCGUGUUGAACCUGGGGUUGUGGAGGUGCACAUGGAGCCGAGGGCACCUGGAGCCGAGGGCCUCUUCUCCUUGUCGCCGGGCACCUGGAGCCGAGGGCGGACAGGGAGGGGCGCGAGGGAGCUGAGGACGGACGGGCAGGGGCGCGAGGGAGAGGGCGGAUGUGGAGGGAGGCCGGAGGUCGCCGCUGUCGGGCGCGUCGCCGGAGAGAGAAGGGGCGCGUCGGGCUCGCGGUCUGGAGGCGUCUGUGUCGGGGGGCGAGAGACGCGAGAGGGGCGCCCACGCGAGAGACCGAGCGAGAGGGAAGGAAGAGAGAAAAAACAGAGGGAGGGGCAAUACGGUCUUUUCCCAUAGCCGAUCCAAGCUGGCAUGAUGAGUUGGACUGCCACGUAGCUAAAAUGGGCAAAUUUAUAUGACUAAAGAGAUACCUAGGACAAAUUUUUAAUUGCACUUAUAAGAGGGGCAACUGAAGAGGAGCCAUCCGUAAGAGGAGCAAAUAUUUAAAUUGCCCGUCCAUCAAUCGAACCCCACCACCGCACUCCCAUAACUUCCCCUCCCAAACCUCGUUCUUCAAUCGCCCUGUUCAAGCACAUAAUGGCAUCUAAGCCGGCAAUAACCAACGCCAUUACUGCCGGACCAAGCUCCACUACUAGCCAUUCCUCUCUCCUGGAGCACCCCGCGCACUCACUACCACAGCGCAGCCAUCAUUGGUCCCCUUGUCCGCUCCAUCACCAUCAAUCGCCGCUGCCAAGCUUCACAGUAUCCAUGGCCGCCGCCUCGAUCUCUCCUUCCCGACUAUCUCCGUUGCGUAGAAUAUUGCAACACUCGCCUCGCCAGAGCCAUACUAACCUGCAACCGCUUCUUGUUCUUGCCGAGGACCACUGUCUCCAACUUCAAUUGGAAUGCUGAAUCUGGACAGAUAGGCAGACUAGUCCUGCUUGUUCUUGUGACGGACUGUGAUACUGGGUCAAAUUUGGCACCUUUAGUUUCCAAUUUUAAUCCAAUUGUUAGUUGUUACAACAAUUCUUUUUUUUAUGAAGGUGACUACUAUUGGAGCUUCGAUUCAGUGGCACGCGUUUUCCUAGUCUAGUCUAGUCAACCGUAUCGUCAACUCCAUCACAGCAGACACUCCCUCCGUCCAAAAAAAGUGUCGUUUUAGAUUUUUGUGCCACAAGUUUAACUCGAUUUAUAGAAAAUAUGUGCAAUAUUUGUGUCUCUAAAUAAAUUUGGUAAAAAACUAGACUUAAGAUCUUUUCAAUGAUACCAAUUAUGUACUAUAAAUAUUAAUAUUUUUUACUAUAUAUUUAGUUAAAAUUAUUUUUUAGAAAGUGCAAACGACACUUAUUUUGGGACGGAGGGAGGAGGGAGUAGUCGUCAAAGAUAUAUGAGCACGGGAGCUUUGAAGCUCCUAUCAGAGCACUCCAAGUUUUGCACUCUACUAGUUCUUUUAGCUCCUUGUAUUUCUCAGAAGCUAUGUGCUCCAUCGUCUCCCUUCUCUAUUGCUUACUUAUCCUCUUGUCUAUCAAUAUUACAGUAGUCACAUCUGCUGAAGCAAACAAAACAGAGAUCGACCGGCAAGCACUCCUUUGCUUCAAGUCCGGCAUCUCCUCCGACCCUCUGGGCGUCUUGAACUCAUGGCGCAACACCUCACGCAACUUCUGCAACUGGUCAGCAGUCACUUGUGAUGUGAGGCAUCCAAUCCGUGUGGUCUCGAUAGACCUCACCUCCAUGCAUCUCACUGGACAGAUAUCUGGUUGCAUAGCAAAUCUGACAUCUCUGUCGCAGAUACACCUCGCAGACAAUAGCUUAUCUGGAGCCAUUCCUGAUGAGCUGGGUAUGCUUCCUGGUCUCCAAACUCUGAUGCUUGCUGGCAACCAUCUUGAAGGUAAUAUCCCUGAUUCGCUAGGCUCUAGCAUGUCUCUCAGCUAUGUUAAUCUUGCAAACAACAGUCUCACUGGUAGUAUCCCUCACUCGUUGGCCAGUAGCUCCUCACUCAGCACGCUAAUCCUCUCGCGUAACAGCCUUACUGGUGAGAUCCCGGCUAAUUUGUUUUAUAACUCAUCUGCCCUUACUACGGUUGAUCUCCAGAUGAAUUCUUUCACUGGUGUUAUCCCACCUUUUGAUAAGGUCACAGCCCUCAAGAACCUUUGUGUUACUGAGAACUUCCUUUCUGGAGGUAUACCUCCUUCGAUAGGGAAUAUUUCUUCUCUCCGCUUUGUAUUGCUAGGCCAGAAUCUACUUACAGGAUCAGUUCCAGAAAGUUUGGGUCACAUUUCAGAACUUUUUGAACUGGAUCUCAGUUUCAAUAGCUUGUCAGGCUAUGUCCCCAUGCCCCUUUACAAUUUGUCUUCACUCAAAUACAUUAGCUUAGGCAGCAAUCGCCUUGUUGGGCAGUUACCAUCUUACAUUGGCUACUCACUACCAAGUCUCCAAGUCCUUAUUAUGCAAAGCAACAAUCUGGAGGGCCUGAUCCCUGCUUCACUAGAAAAUGCGUCAAAUCUCCAAGUGCUUGACCUAUCAAAUAACUCCCUGUAUGGUCGUAUUCCAUCUCUUGGGUCGUUGGCAAAAUUGCGUCAAGUGCUUUUAG